AAUAAACAGAAUAUAGUAAGAACUUUUCCAACAUGGCAUUAACCAACAUAAAACUACUUCAUAAUCUUUGUAAAUAUAACUAACAGUGUAGUAAACCAUCUCAAAUAUUGUUUACUAGCAGAUAUUAUCCCCAACCCAUCUUAUCUUAGGAACCACCACCCCCAGCAGCAGCCAGAACCUUGACUUUCUCCUCUUGUUUGAUAGCAGCAGCAGCCUUCACCUCCUGCUUCAUUAUUUAUUACAUGAGAACAAAGAUGCACCAGCAGUACAUGUCAGUCUAAAACUCCUCUUUCUACUACACUCCUUCCUACCAGCAAAAAUCAAAACUCAGACUGAAACAGAGCUCAACGUAACCAGAGAGAAUUCGUCUACUCACAACUACAAUUUCUCCAACCAAUCUUCUGUAGCAUCUCAUAUCUGUAGACCCAACUUAAGCAACCAACCAAUGAAAUGCAAAACCUUUAUGAUAGUCAAUAUCUGUUGCUCGUUUCUUUGAGGGAACUGUCAACUUCUGUAAGCCUUGUGGUUGUUGAUAUCACAUCUCUGCUGUUUUUCUUUUCCAACCCAAAUCCGAUGCCUGGACAAGGACACAUCACUGCUCCUAUCACUCAAAACCGAAAUCUCCAUUCAUAUCCAACGCCUCAAGUUUCAUCUUGGAAUCAUAAUAAACACUGUUGCUUGUAAUCAUAAUAAACACCUGAAGCUAAUCUUGUCAGGUCUCCACCUUGGAAGCAGCCAUAUCAACAGCUCUAGCACAAACUCGUUCAAAGUUUCGAUGAUGUAAGAAGCAUAUGCGUAGAGGGACCAACAGCUUUCGAAAUUUGGUGCACAACAAUGUUGAGUUUGAAAUGAUAGAAAGCAAAACCCCAUAUGGGUCAUUAGAGGGCCAAAAUACAUCAACUAUAGAAAACAUGCGAGGGAAGGAGGCAGUUCACAACCAAACUCAUAGUGAGACAAAAGGAGAAGAUUAUUCUAUCAGGUAACCUUUGUAUCAGAUUAAAGGGGCUCCUCUAGCAGGAAGAAACAUGUCAUAAAAUCUGCUCGUCAAAGUGAUGCCAAAAGGAAAUCAGUUUGCUACUUUCGGACAGGAAUAUUUUCAGGAAAUCAUGGACUUUGUGGGAUUCCAUUUCAGAAAACAAGCCAUACAGCAAGAUCCCCACACAAAUUACCAGGCUCACCACCUUCAUUUCAUUUCUAACCUUGUCACAAGAUUUGCUCAUUAGUCAGUUUGCUACUUUUGGGUCGGAAUCUUUUCAGGAAAAUCAUGGACAUUGUGGGACUCGAUUGUUGAAAUCUUGCUUUCCAUCACAUCAGAGCACUAACCCAACUGUUGAAGGAGGGAAGAGUCUGAUUGAUUGGGGGUGCUUACCAUAUCAACCUUAUGCAAGAAGCAUAGGUUUGGAGGGACCAGCAACUUUCAGAAUUUGGUGCACAACCAUGAUACUAAUAUUAUGUUCAGUUUGAAAUAGAAACCAAAACCAAACGACACAACCUUAUGGAAACACAUCAACUAGCAAUCAUGUGAGGGAAGGAGAUAGCUCUGCCCUCACGGCAAACCAUAGCGAGACAAAGGAGAAGAUUAUUCAAUCAGGUAACCUUUGCUUGUAUCAGAUUAAAAUGACUCUCUGGCAGGAGGUUCAUAAAUCUGAAAUACCAAAGAUUUGCAUCAUUUUGAACUAUCUUCUCCAAUCAGGUAAACUCUGUACAUGAUUUUGCAGAGGACCUAACAAAAGGAAUUUACCAUUUAGGGUAUCGUGUUUCAUAUGUUUCCACAGGUCGGGUUGUCUGGAUAUUUCAUCAAUAUCAUCAUUUAACAGCUUAACAAGAUGAAGUUUUCAGAGCACAUAUUAAAUGAUUGUGUAUCAGAUUAAAGGGACUCUCAGGCAGGAAGUUCAUAAAUCUGGAAUACCAAAAUCUAACUCAACGAUUUGCAUCAUUUUGAACUAUCUUGUCCAAUCAGCGGAUGAGCAAUUUAUGGAGAUAGAAAUAACAUUUCAUAUUUUUUUCAAUUUAAAACACAGCAUUUCAAAUUAAAUCACAUCAACACAGAUAUAAAAAGAUGCACAUGACUAACAUUUUUCAAAACUGAAUUCUCUAGGGGUGAGAAUAAUUUCUUAGUUGCCUUACAGACUUACAUUACAAAGGCAUCAAAACAACUACAGAAACUAACCUAGAAACCACAUUCAAAAUCCUGAUUAAGGGAAGAAGGACUCCUACCAACGACCAAUUCAACUAAAUAAUCAUAAACCUACCAUUAGACACUCAGGUUCAUUGCCAUAACAGUUUCGCAUACAAGAAUGUAAGCCUAGAUAUGUGAUUAGUGAACUAAACAGGAAGCAACUCACUCAGGUAGAAGAGUAAUGAAAGCAACUCAGGUAGAAGAGUAAUGAAGAUUAUGCAAUUUGUGUUAGAUCUAAAGAAACAUAGAGAGUUGGCAAGCAAUUCAGGCAUCAAUAACAAUCAAUAUAUGUAGGACUUGAGAGACAAGUUUCAUUUUCCAGGUAUCAUGUCAAAGUAACAUUCAACUUCAAUAUUGAACAACCUAUUACACUUGAGAUUAAGGGUUCUGGGUUCACAAAGCAAAUCUAGAAAGAAAUAGUCUAAUCGAACUCAAGUAGGAAAUCAGGUAAGGGUAGAUCUUGCAACCAAUUAAAGUUACCUUAGAGUUGAAGGAAGAAUCUGAUGAAAGGGAUAUGGGACAGAGACUGAGAUUUUCGACGAGGGACUGGACUUGCUGUUCAGUUCUCUCACUUCCUCAAGGAAUGCCCAAACAUCAGGAUCAAUAUAACAACGUAUUUGAUUCUCGGAGUUGUGAGACUGAGUUGUUGGCAUAGAAGAAGAAGAUAGACCAACUCCAUCAUCACAAAGUCUAGGAACCUUUGAAGAUGGCUGUGAGGAACAGCCACCAGCAGCAGCAUCAAACUUUCUCUUGCCACUGGUUUUAUGAUGAUUUCCGUACCUUAACAGUUCCUCUUCAGAUGGGUUGAAAGGGUGGUAACCCAGAGGGAGCGUCGAGAGAUGUUGAGGCUGUUGCGGUACUUGUUGUUCCUCCAUUUUUGAUUUCGAAAGCAAGAACCCUAGUUCCAGUUCUGAGCUAGUCGGAGAAUCUAGCGGAGUUUUUCCUGACACGAGAAUCCCAGAUUCAACAAGAGAAUGAAACAGAGGCUAAGCCGCACGAUGUUGCAAGAGAAUUCCAAAGAACGGAGAAGACGAAGACAGAGCGCUUGAGAGAAAAAAAGCUGGUCGGAGGCGAGUGAAUUUGUGGUGAAGGAGUGAAUAGUUCGCCUCCAUUAUAUUGAGGGUGGGUUAACGCGUAGAUCAGAUGACGGUGGAGAUUCGCUGGCAACGGCUCUAUUUCUGACCGGCUCUAUUUCUGACCGUUGCCGGCUCUAUUUCUGACCGUUGCCGGCACGCGGCUUGGAAGCUUCCUUCUUUCUUCCUGGACGCUGUUAGCCUUGAAGUUUCAAUGUGUUAAGUGAAUUUUUUAUUAUUUUUAAUUUAAGAAAUUUUAAAGGAAGUUGAAGAAGAAGACGUUAACCUUUUUUUAUUUUUAUUUUCAAAGCAAUUUUGGGCCCAAACCCAUUUUAGUCCAAAAGCUAACCAUUAAGUGGGCCUUGGCUACAUUUUUUCAGUAGACUAAAACGGGCUUUUGAAUUCCAGCGAGCGAGUCCGAGAAGGAAAAGGAUUCCAAGCUGCUAUUGGUUUCCUUGCUUCCCAAGGACUCCGGUAAGCAAAAAACCCCCACCUUAUUCUCCCUAUAAAUCAACAGUAAUAUCCAUUGUUGCAGCAUCAUCAACACCAGAAACUUUCUUCAUAAUCUUUUUGGCUAAGAAGUGAAGAGAAUGAUGAGAUCAUUAGAGGUAGAAUGCAGCAGAGAGAGAGUGGCCGACCUAGUGAAACUGUUAAUUAGGUAUCAGGCUUCUUACGCUUUAAUUCCCAGACCAGGAGGAGGAGAAACCAAGAGGAGAAUACCGGUUGAUCAACUCAAGAGAGUCGCUGAGCAGCUUGUGUUGGACAAGACACACCAUCAUCAUCAUGGUAGCAACACACAAGGCCCUCUGAAGACUAUGCUCGACAGCGACUUAAUCGAAUUAAUUGUUCGAAGAGCAUCAAAAGCAUGGGAAAGAGUGUUGCUUCCCAACAUCAGCAAGCGAGAAAAAGAAGAAGAAGCAGAGGAAGUGUACUCCAGCACCGUCAACACUCCCAAUCCAGAAAUUUCCAUUCUUUAAUUAAUUCCUUCGUCUAUCCAUUACUGUAAUGUAAUACUCAGCAUAUCAAAAUCAAAUACCAACAAAAAAAUUGUUCCAAGAUUUCAAAUGUGUUAACAUAUAUAAUUACAUUAUCACCAAGACAAGUAGGUAGCACGUCUGAUACAUAGUUUGCAGAAAGUAAAACAUUGACAUAUAUAAUUGACCAAGGAUAAACCGUAUUCAGCCAUCUUACUUACUGUUCAUAAAAGGAGGCUAUGUCUCCAUAACUCCUAAUAUAUCUUCUUCCGUAGAAACUAGCAAUAUGAUGAGGGUUUUUUCAUGUCAGAACUUGCCGGUUUCGGAAAGUAUCCUCUCCAUCUCCUCGAGCAGAUGUUCUUUCUCUUCUGUCAACGCCUCGUUCUGUUUCUGGAGAUCCUCGAUCUGCUUAGUCUGUUCAGAAUCCUUUCUGGUAUAUAUGUUUACAGCCACACUAAGUUGGUUAUAAACAGCAGCAAGCAACCCAUAUAUAUUUCCAGAUUUGAAUAUUGUGUUUCUUUCAGUCUUACCGGUUCAUGAAAGACAAGUUGAGUUUGAGUGAUCUGACUUCCUUCUCCAAAAGCUCACACCUUUUGGUCGCUGACGGCAUAUCUGAUGGAAUUGCAGGUGUCGAACUCCUCUCCUUCGCUUCUGCCAUCCUACCAUUCGCAGACAAAAUCAUCAACAACAAUACAACCCUACAAGAGCUGAUCAAAUGAAACAAUACAAAAAAUGAAUAGGCCAAGUGAAAUUAAAGUUACUUCCGAGAGCGUUCCACCCUGCGCUUCUUCGUCGGGUCUCCAGUUUCCACUGCACAUAACUCAAAGAGAAUUUGAAUUCCAGCGAGCGAGUCCGAGAAGAAAAAGAAUUGAAAAGAAUACUUCUGAAUUGUACCAAUUUUCUUAGUAGACUCGACUGAACAACCAACAAUUUCGGGUUUGUACAAAUAACGUCUAAAUAGAUAAAUAGCUGCAGAGAUAAUAAAAUCAAGGGGUACUGUAGGUACAAAAAGUUCGGUUCUUGAUACAAAGGAACGACCGGAAGCCAUGUUUGUUGCAGUGGACAUGGAAGCAAAAGGCUGGUCCUUUAUCCAAAGUUUUCAUGACAUCCAACACUUACAUAUGCCAUCACAACAAAUACAUUAUUCACAAAAAGCAUUCCUUUUUUCCAGGCUUCCAAUACUUUUUACUACUCAACAAAACCAUCACUGUCAACUUCAUGGCGAGUUUCCAGGUGAUGUAGUACUCAGACAUGCCUCUCUUCCAAUGCACCAUACUCAACUCCGGCUAGGUGUGUCAUUUGCAGACGAGCUUGAUUUUGGUUCGCUAUAGCAAAAUUCCCAAUCCGAAAUCGAAUUGCUGGCAUCUGAAUACCGCAACUUCCCUCCUUCCACCUUAUUCAUCUCAUCAAACUCUCCAUGAUGCAGUUUCAUACCAUGAACACCGGCUGACAUAUUAAACACCCCCUUAAUAACAUGAGCAGCUGCUGGUGAAUUUGGAUUACUCAGAACUUCCUCUUGUAGAAUGUCACCUAUCCUUGUCAAUAUGCUGCAUGCCAAGUUUCCCAAAACCCGGGAGUAUGCUUCCAAGAUUGCAUGUCCUACAUCCUGCAAAGGUUUAACAAUAAUACUAUCAAACUUUUGUUUCAAGCCUUAGCCUAAUUCAAGUGAAAGGAAAUGCUAUAUAUGUACCUUGCCAUAGUGGAUUUUGGUAGCAUCAAGAAAUGUUUGAGGAAGGUUUGGAUGGGUUGCCUUAAGUUGCUGGACCAUCGCUUCAGCUUUGUCUACAAGACCCUCAACCUUAUCAAGUUCAGAAAUGGGGUCCUUGGCAAAAGUCCAAGAUGUUCUCAUUGGGGAUUUCUUUCCACAUUGUGAUGCUUUGAUUCUCUCUUUCCAUCCUAAUAUUGCUGCUUCCAACUUGUUCACUACUUCCAUCACUCUAUGCUCAGAUUUUAGAUUCAGAGAAUCAAUUAUCUCAUCGAUUGUGGCUGAAUCCAUUGUUAGUAACUUGUACAGUUCCUCCCCAAGAUUCUCCCUUCCAGACUGCAAUCACAGCAAAGAGUGAAUUCCCUUUAGAAAAAGUAUGUGAUGAGAGUGUAAUGAUUUUAUGAUUUUACCGUGGGAAGUGCAUCUUUGAUUAUGGUUGGGACAUGCAUUUCAAGCAGAACACUAUCAUUGAUGGCUUUGGCAGCUUUAAAUACUUGGUAAACAACCCUGGAUUUCUGGACCAGCUUCUUCCUUUCCGAAUCGGAGAGCCCGGCUGUUGGAACUUGCGGAAGCGGAAGCCACCAUCUCUUGCUCAGCCUUGUGCUCUUGUUUCUUCCUUCAGCUCUGCUCCCAACCUCUGAGUACCAAAACUCAUUCUUCACCAUUGAAUCCAAUAUCUCCUGUCAAGUGUUUCAAAGUGAGCAACACGAUAAAUGUCAAAACGAUUAGACCGGAAAGUGCAAACAAUGUAAGAGAUCAGAUCACCUACGAUUAGCAUCGAGUCCAACUUCUUAAGUGCAGGAAGAUUCAUGAGGAUGUCUGCACGGGCUCUCGGUGUCAUUAUCUGCUUCAAUAUUCGAAACAUCAAAUUCCACACUCCACACCCAAAGUUGAAGAAAAGAGACAUCAUUUUUCGAAACCCUUGAAGAGGGAAAUGAGAAAGCUUACCUCCAUUGUCCUGCCAUUGGCACCAUGUUGUUUAGCAGGAACCAACUCAACCAUAUAAUUGGUGGGAGAAAGUAACCACUCCAUCUCCCUUCUCCACUUGUUCUUCCUCUCUUCAGGCAAUGGCUCCAAUUUCCAUAGCUCCCCAAACACAGAUGCUAAUUAAAGACAUUCAAAUUCAAUCACUUACACCAAAGUUCAAAACUUUUUAAGCAAGAGAUCGAAAGUGAAUCUUACCUGCAAGACUUGUUACACCAUUGGACAAUGCUAAAGCUGCAGUGAGUCCCUUAGUCCCACCUGUGACAUCUUCACCCAACAACAGCUUUGCAAACUUCUCCUUCAUCGUCUCAACAUCUGAGAGCUCAACUCCAUAAGACGGCUUCUCUUUGGCGUAAAAGUGUUGUGGGCUUUCCGGGAUGUCCCAGCAGCAGUCAUCAAAGCUCUGAUCAUCUCUUUUCACAUUCAUCCAUUUAGAAGAAAAAGACCCAAACGCAUCCUUGCUCGAUGAACAGCUCGACGCACAUUCAUCAAACGAAUCGCUAACGAAUCCGUCCCCUCUACUAGUCCCACUCUCAUUCUCAAAAGACUGAUUAUUAUUAUUGUUCUGGAUACAACUCUCCAGUCCAUCAUACGUAAUUACCCCUGAACAUGGCACAAAAUGGACAUCAUCAGUCCCACAGAUGAAUUAACGACGGCAUUAAUGUUUAAAAGAUCAGUAUCAGCUGAGUUCUAUGACCAGAUGGUUAGAUGGAUAGGAAAGUGUUGAAUGGUCCAAGCAACUUUCCACAUUGAAUGGGGUUUAGGAUUUAGAGAAAUGGGAAGAAAGGAAUCACAGGACCACACAGCAAGAAGUAAAUGCCAGGGAAAAUGAAGGACUGAAGGAGUAAGGGACAAAAGGAUAUCACCAAAACCAAAACUGGAGAGUGUUUGUCUGGCAGGGAAUAUGCAUGUGGCUUCAACAUGACUCUGAUCUGAUCCAAAAUGGUAAGUGGACUGACGGAUGGAAAUUAACCCUCCACAUGCAGUGCCAAAACACACAAACAUUAUUCUAAACAAACCAGUAACCAUUCUGAUCUAAACACGGGUAAGAUUGUUAACGAUCAUAAGGAACUAUGUACUGAUUUCGAUCGAAUUCUUCAGUAUGAAAGUGACAUAUCUCUCAGGGGUAAUCAAUUGAAUUUCUCUGUACUUGUCCUAUUCUGGAGGGCACACAACGUCAUGAAAUGAUAUAUAUUAUUUUGUACUAGUACUGCACCGCAAAUUAUGGUUCCCAAGGAAAAAGAAAGGUAUGAAUCAUGUUAGGCUUGUUUAUUUAAUUUAUUAGAGAUCAACCAUGGACCCUGCUUGAAAGGAAAGGAAGAUCAACCACGAACAAACAACUCAGACAGUCGGAAGUUGCAGACCAUUUAAUUAUUAAACUAGUCUAUAUGAAAAUAUUUUAACAAAAUUAAAGCAAAAAAGUGCCAUGUGGGCAUUUAGCUGCAGGACUCGUCACUCCUCCAAGCUAAACAAACAACAGUAGCUCAACAGAGAAAAGAAUGGUCAAAGUUAUGGAAGCAUGGCAAGGAAGAAGGAUGGAUGUCUAGGUCUGGUCUGGGUUGAGUCCAGAAAUUUAAGAGACACCAUCAAAUACAAACCUCCUUCUGUGUAGAGAAUUAAAUGCGGUGGGAAGAAACAGAUCCACGCCGAUGGUAUUCACUGUUUCCGCAGAGCAGGAAGAUAGACCCAUUAUUUAAUGGCUAACAGCAUUCACCAUACGGCAUUGAUUGUUUUUUCCUUCACAACACAAUCCGUCAAGGAAAUGAUUUUUUUUUGAGUUAAAGCAUACGCAAAACCUAUUUAAGACGUGUGUAUUUUAGGGAGGUUGUUAAUUGCUAUGUGUUAGGUUAGGUAUGGCACUUUGGGGGUGAAGUUUUAGUAACGACAAAAACAGAGAGAAAAGCUGAGCUCGUGGGAUGCCAGCCUCUCUUUGCAUGCAGAGACCUUAAAUAAAAAGAGUAACCCAAUUCAUGUUUAUUAAGGAAAAAUUUAUUACUGGGAAGAGAGAAGAAGAUGGACUUACUGUCAUCUUGUUCAAAGUCGAAGCUGAUUCCUCUGUCGCGGGUGCAGCAAGCGAGUUUGCUUCUCAUCAUCAUUCUUCUUCUUCAGUUCUUCUUCUUCUUCUUCUUCUCCGGCCACCUGGGAUUAGUAAUUGCUUAUGUAGUUAGCUAGCUUGGAAAUGGCGGAAAUGGAAACUUCUUAUUUCUCUGUGUUUUUGUUUCACAUGGGUUGCUGCUUGCUUUGUUAAAACAGAGAGAGAGAGACAAAAAAACCAGGUAAUGGGCGAGAGAUGGUCCUCUCCCGCAAAAAAAUAGGCUCCCCACUCACACGAUUCUCAACGGGGGGAAGAAAGGCGCUUUAGCCAAAAGGUGAGUGAUGUUUUGGAAAGAAAUAUUGAAGUAAGGAUCAUAGGGAGAAAGGGCAGGAUUGAGACCUGUGAUUUGUGAGCAGAGCUUCAAAACGAAGAAGAAGGAGAAGAAGAAGAGAAUUAUGUCAACUGUUUUUGAGAUAUGAAAUAAAAAAUGCAGACUGCAAAACAGAGAGAGGGUUUGUUUGUUUGUUUGCUUGUUACUUAGUAGUGGUGCGGUGUCAGAGGAGGGAAAAGAAAAGAAGAGGAUUGGAUCGGGAGGGAGAAGGGGAAGUUGGAGGAGAAGGAGAAUAAAUAAAGAGGAGAAGGAGAAGAUGGCAAUCGAUUCAUUUAUUAUUUGACUCAGAGUAAGACACAGAGCUCCCAUGACUCACUCACUAACCUGGCCCCAACCUUGACUAGAGCUGUUAACUUAAACCGUCGUUGAUUAGGUUAGUCUGGUUAUAGAUUAGUCGAAUUGUGGGUUUAGUCAAGUUAUUAGUGUUAGUAUACGUAUAAGCUACGUAUUGGGCUGGUUGUCUUAUUAGCAUUCGGCCCAUAUUGUAUUUCUUUGUGGUAUAUAUGUUCACAGUUUAACCCUCUAGUGAACACAUACCUUUGUUGUCGUCUUCCUUCAAUCCUAAUGAGAACUUCUUCUUUCCCGUGGAUUAGUCGAUCAUUCUAAUCGGAAAUCACGUAAAUAUGUCUUGUUCAAUCCCUUCUUGCAUCGAUUAUUAUGGUAUCAGAGCCCCUGCACUCUUGAUCGUUGGCCUCGUUGUUUCGAAUCGUGGUGUGGAUCUUCUCGAUUUGUGUUUUCAGCUUCGGGUUCUGUCAGAAUUUUUCUCUCGUACUCUUCUUCUGUCCUCGUCUUCGAUCUUCGAGCAUGACUUCUGAAUGGGGAGAUGGGGUUUCUAUUCGAUUUACAGGUCGGAAUUUUUCAAUAUGGGAGUAUAGCUUUCACGUUUUCGUACAAGGAAAAGGCUUGCUUGCUUGCUUACUUGGAUGGUACCAAGAAACAACCUGCUUCUUCAACCACCAAUGCCAUCGAAAUUGAGACCUGGAAUACUAACAAUGUUUGGGUCAUGUCCUGGUUGAUCAGAGCUAUUGAUCAACCAAUCACUCUUACUUUUCGUUUGUUUACCACUGUUGCUGAAGUUUGGGCUCACUUGAAACAAGUUUAUACGCAAGUGAGUACCGUUCGUUUGUUUGACCUGGAAUAUGAAUUAUCGAACUUGUCACAAGGUGAGCUGGAUAUCAAUCAAUAUUAUAUGGCUACUUCAUGCAUUUGGACUGAAUUGGAUAUCUUAGCUGCUGCUUCGAAAUUUUCCGCAGCUGUUGAAGCUGCAGUUCUCAAAGAACGCAAGAAGACUCGUCUUCUUCAAUUUCUCAUGAAACUUCGGCAUAUGAGGGAGUUCGUGCUCAGCUACUAUCUAAGGAUGACCUUACCAUUACCCAAGUUCUCGGUGAGUUAUCCCGUGUUGAAAUUCGUCUUCGUACGCAAACCGAUCUUGACUCUACCGUCCCUGCCAUGGAAUCUGCUUUUGCCGUUAAGGGGUUUAGGCAUCAAUUUGGUCACUCUUCUCAAUCAAAGGGAUUUAGUCACACUUCUUCUGGUCAAACUAAUGCUGGUUCGACUCAUUCAAAGUUUUUUUAUUCUUCCUCGUUUAAGUGUACACAUUGUGGUGUUCUCGGCCACUCAAUUUCUCAUUGUAGGACACGCAAUAUUUGCACUUAUUGUAAGAAGCCUGGCCACAUCAUUUUGGAUUGUAAGGUUCGUCAUCCACGUGGAAAUUUUGGCCCCAAUACCAACUCUUAUGUCGUCAUGCCCGUUGCAAUUACUUCCGACUCGCCAGCUGUUCAAGAGGCCUCUAUUAAUCGAAUGGUUCAAACUACACUUGGUCGUUAUAUUCCUUCCGCUCUCAAUGCCGCCUUUGCUUCUGUUGGGUUGACAGGCACCUCGUCUUCUUGGUUACUUGAUUCUGCUGCCUUCAAUCAUAUGUCCCGUAAUCGAUCGGCUUUUCAAAAUUAUCUUCCUGUUAAAUCUUCUAUGGUGGAAGUUGCGAAUGGUAGUAAGUUGCCCAUCGCUGGCAUUGGGAUAGUUCGAACUCAAAACAUGACCUUGCCUUGUACUCUUCAUAUUCCUGCUCUGAUUCCCAAUCUUGUUUCUGUUGGUCAAUUAACUGACGCUGGGUGUAUUGUCUCGUUUGGUCCGGAUGAGUGUGUUGUGCAUAUCAAAUGAGUCUGUGCCCACUAGGGAAGGGAACCUAGCAUGGGAGGAUGUUUAGCUUAGAUGGUUUUCAAGUUCCCGACCUGCCUAUUGGUGGAGUGAAUUCAGGUGGAGUGAAUUCAGGUGGAGCGAAUUCAAGUAGUUUCUGCAGGUCAAAUGUUUUGAGUUCUAGUAGUAGUUUUUCAUUCAGUUGUCAAAAACAAAGUUGUUUUGGGCUUUGUGGCAUUCUAGACUUGGUCAUCCUCAUUCUGCUCGUUUGAAGUAUAUGUUUCAGAAAUAGCUUUUUCGAAUUUUGAGACUCCACAUCGUAUUCCAUGUGUUGAAGCUAAACUUACUGCAUCUUCAUUUCCUAUGAGUACUACGGCUAUUCCGACAGCGUUUGAUCUCAUCCAUACUGAUUUAUGGGGUCUUGCUCCAAUUACAUCUCGUUUGGGAUAUCGUUACUUUGCGUUAUUUGUUGAACAUCAUACCCGGUUUGCUUGGAUAUAUUUUCUUAGGUUGAAAUAUGAAUUAUGCCAAGUUGCCAAAUCCUUCAUACAGAUGAUACAGACUCAAUUUGGGAAAACAAUCAAGAUGAUUCAGUCCGAUCCAGGGGGAAUUUACCUCUCACGCAUUACAUGAUUUUUAUCAGCAGAAAGGAAUUUUAUUUCAGUUAUCUUGUCUUGGGGUUUCUGAACAAAACGGUCUCGUGGAAUGUAAACAUUGCCAUGUCUUGACCUAACUCGAGCUUUUCUCCUGCAGUCUGUUGUUCCUAAUUCUUUUUGGGUUGAAACAGUUCAGUCUGUAGUAUAUCUAAUUAAUCGCCAGCCUACUACCAUUCUGGAGAAUGCUACUCCUUUUGAAUGUCUAUAUGGUCGACCUCUUGACUACUCUAAGCUACAGGUGUUCGGAUAUGUGUGCUUUGUACUCCUUCCAAAGCAGGCUCGUACCAAGUUGUUUGCCAAGACCAGUAGAUGUGUUUUUGUUGGGUAUUCUAAUCAUCACAAGGCUUAUUAAUGUUACGAUCCUGUUCAACGUCAUCUACAUAUUGCGUUUCUAGAGCACGUGUUCUAAUAUAAGUGUGACGUCUCAGCUGGAUCUUCGCUCCUAUAUCUCUUCCUCAUUUUGAUCCUAUUGCAGAAGAAAAGGAUAUUGAGGAUAUUGAUCCUCCUAAUGAUCACCAUGAGGCUAAUUUUCAGCAUGAUGUGGUUCCUCCCACCGUGAAACCUCCUUCUCUUACUCAUCCUCCUCGCCAGUCUUCUCGAAGUAUUAAAGGUAUACUUCCUUCUCGGUAUCAAGACUAUGUCACAUUUGUCGUUGCCCCUAUUAAAAUCCCAACAAGCUAUCGGCAGGCUUGUUUGGAUCCUAAUUGGUGUAAGGCCAUGGAUGAAGGGAAAGUUGCACUCAUCGAGAAUCAAACUUUUGACAUUGUUCCUCGUCCUAUCGAUGCUCUUAUCCUUGGUUCUUGUUGGGUAUUUAUAGGUAAGUUUAAUCUAGAUGGAUCUCUAGAGCGCUAUAAAGCUCGCUUUGUGGCUCAAGGAUGUCGCCAAGAGUAUGAGAUUAAUUAUGAUGAAACCUUUACGCCGGUUGUGAAGAUGCAAACUGUUCGCAUUCUCAUGACGUUGGCAGCUCAACGUGAUUGGUUGUUACUUCAAUUGGACGUAAAAAUGCUUUCUUGCAUGGACAUUUGAAGGAAAUUGUUUACGUUGAAUGUCUUCCCGGAUAUGAUAAAGGUGACCAGGAUGUUGUAUGUCUUCUAAAACGGUCUCUUUAUGGCCUCAAACAAGCUACACGUGCUUGGUUUGAAACUUUUUAGAAGAUUAUUCUCUCUUCUGGCUUCCUAUAGAGCAACAAUGACCCUUUUUUAUUCACCAAGAAAUCAGUGUGUAGCAUUACCAUCUUGCUCGUUUAUGUUGACGAUAUGAUUUUUAUUGGAGAUGAUUCGGUGGGCAUAGUUGAGAUUCGUUCUAUCCUGCAUACUCAUUUCAAGCUAAAGGGGUUGGGUGACUUGUCUUGUUUCUUAGGAAUUGAGGUAUCUUGCUCCUCCAAUGGGAUUCUUUUGAGCCAUCGAAAGUAUAUUUCCUAUUUUCUUGAACUUGCUCAUCAUAAAAAUUGUAAGCCAUGUAGUACUCCUAUGUUGUUGAACCCUAAGUUAAGCAAACACGAUGAAGGACCAGUCGAUAAUCUAUCUCACUUCCACUCAUCUUGAUUUACCAUAUGUUGUCCAAGUGGCGAGUCAAUUCAUGGGUAGCCCUCGUCACUCUCAUCAGGCUGCGGUUUUUCGGAUCCUUCGGUAUUUACAGAGUACGAAGAAGCACGGUAUAUUCUUUCCAGCUUCGUCAUCUUCUUAGUUGGCUGCCUUUGCGGAUGCAGAUCACGCGGGUUGUGUUGAUACGCGUAGCUCUACUUCAGGGUGGUGUGUCAAGUAUGGCGAUGCUUUUAUCUCGUGGCAUUGUAAGAAACAUGAUCGUGUCUCUAAGUCAUCUACAGAGGCAAAGUAUCGAUCGAUGUCUGAUGUAUGUUAUCAAGUUGUGUGGGUUCAUGGUUUUCUGACUGAACUUGGUGCGACUAUGCCUCUUCCUAUCAAGUUGUUUGGUGAUAAUACAAGUGCAAUUUAGAUUGCAACCAAUCCGGUUCUCCAUGAUCGCACAAAGCAUAUCGAGACUCAUGUACACUAAAUUCGGAAUCUUGUUAAUGAUUGUUUGGUCAAAUUGUACUACCUGACCUCUGAAGAUCAACUGACAGACUUGUUAACUAAACCUCUGGCCACUAGUCGACAAUGGUUUCUGUCUGCCAAAUUGAUGUUGCGUAGUCACCAUCAAUUUGUCACCACUGCUGGAAUUUUACAAGUGGAGUUUCAACGUCGGCAUCGGAAACUCACUAGUGGAAUUUCCGUACCGGUGCAGAAUUUACCGAUUGUUAAAAAGUUUUGUGACCGCUCUCAAAAUUUGACCGGUAUACUUUCGCUCUUGAAAAACAGCAGUUAGAGUAAAGUUGUAGAAAUUUUACUGUCAAAAUUCCACCUUUGAAAAAUCUAUCCCCAAAGCCAAAUACACGUUUUGAAAUACACAAAAUAACUUAAUAUCCAAAUUCAUGGUUUCAAAUUGAAGAGAAUUUUCAUGUAUUAUCCAAACACACGUACCCUAAGUUCAAAUCUAAAGAUAAAAAAAAUGCUCUUUCUCAUAAUUCUUUCCCCUGUCCUUUACAUAUGUCAAAAGGAAAUUGAAGACUGACAAGUGGGGGAAAAGGAGGAAGUGUGCAGAGAAUAAAUAAAGUCGCUGAUUUGAUUUGAUUUGAUAGGCAAGCUUAGCUCCCCCUAUCCAAUUUUUCUUCGGUGCUGAAUCUGUAUUUGUAAAAAAUUGUCGACCAUUUGAUUUAAUGGUUGAAAAUAAAUUUUGCAGAUCUAAUAAUUAAUANNNNNNNNNNNNNNNNNNNNNNNNNNNNNNNNNNNNNNNNNNNNNNNNNNNNNNNNNNNNNNNNNNNNNNNNNNNNNNNNNNNNNNNNNNNNNNNNNNNNNNNNNNNNNNNNNNNNNNNNNNNNNNNNNNNNNNNNNNNNNNNNNNNNNNNNNNNNNNNNNNNNNNNNNNNNNNNNNNNNNNNNNNNNNNNNNNNNNNNNNNNNNNNNNNNNNNNNNNNNNNNNNNNNNNNNNNNNNNNNNNNNNNNNNNNNNNNNNNNNNNNNNNNNNNNNNNNNNNNNNNNNNNNNNNNNNNNNNNNNNNNNNNNNNNNNNNNNNNNNNNNNNNNNNNNNNNNNNNNNNNNNNNNNNNNNNNNNNNNNNNNNNNNNNNNNNNNNNNNNNNNNNNNNNNNNNNNNNNNNNNNNNNNNNNNNNNNNNNNNNNNNNNNNNNNNNNNNNNNNNNNNNNNNNNNNNNNNNNNNNNNNNNNNNNNNNNNNNNNNNNNNNNNNNNNNNNNNNNNNNNNNNNNNNNNNNNNNNNNNNNNNNNNNNNNNNNNNNNNNNNNNNNNNNNNNNNNNNNNNNNNNNNNNNNNNNNNNGAACAAUAAAGAAAAAGAGAAUAGGGACUUAAAUUCUGUAAUGUGCUUUCUCUGGUGUUCUUCUCCCAAAUGUGGACUUCCCCAUAUAUCAAAUUCAAACUUAUUGUUAAUUUAUUAAAAAUAAAAAUUAUAAAUUUAGUUUAAAAAAUCCAAAUAUAAUACCAAAAAACUCAUUGGUGUCCCAUCUAAUUAUAUUUUUACUAAAAACAAUAUAAUAAUUGCUUUUUAUAUUUAAAUUAGUAUUACGUUUUAAAAAUAUAUCCAUUAAUUANNNNNNNNNNNNNNNNNNNNNNNNNNNNNNNNNNNNNNNNNNNNNNNNNNNNNNNNNNNNNNNNNNNNNNNNNNNNNNNNNNNNNNNNNNNNNNNNNNNNNNNNNNNNNNNNNNNNNNNNNNNNNNNNNNNNNNNNNNNNNNNNNNNNNNNNNNNNNNNNNNGAUAGAUUUCGUUCCAUCCCCAUACCCACCCGGUUACGGUUAUAACCGCUCCUCUUAACGGUUAACCACCGAUAUGCAAGAAAAAAAAAGGAAUGAAAAGUUGAAAAUGCAUACACAUUCAUUCAUCCGAAAAUUUUUCAAAUCUAAUUCCAAACAAUAGUAACAAUAGCAUUCUAGAACACUAAAAGCACUUGUGACUUGUUCUUGAGAUCAAAAUACAACCCAAAACUAGCAAGGGGGGAGGAUCGAACCAUUUAAGCAAUACUAUAAAACAUGAAUCUCAAAAUCUUAAGUACUGAAACACUAAACAAAAUGAAACUGAUAAUUGAAAUAGAACAAUCGUUCCCUCUUCAUAUAUAACUAGUCUGAAUCUGAUUAAUGAUUUUUUUUAUGAAUGAUGGUUGAUGGAUGAAUUUAUGUUUUGCGAUUUUGAAAGACAGAGUUAAGAGAUAAGGUUUCUUGAAAUUAAAAGCAAAAGUAUUGCAUUGGGACAUAGGGUUAAAAUGUAAGUGGGUUGGGACAGUCAAAUGGUAUUGGGCUUUAUUGCUUUAAUAAUAUACUGGUAAAUAGAGGGUAAAUUACGGGUUGGGGAUGGUUAUGGGUAUGGUUACGGUGAUGGUGCAGUUAUUUUGAAACCCAUAACCUAACCUUACCCAUUCGUAGCGGUUAACGGUUAUAACCAUAACCACAAAAUACCCAGUCAACGCGGUUAAUAACCGUCAAACUCGGUGAGGAUACGGUCGGUUGAACAGUUGAACGGUCAGAAUUGCCAACCCUAGCUAUAUAUAUGCGUUUAAGUAGUCGAAACAUACGAAGUGGAGAAUUAUUGCGGUAUGUAAUGUAAGAGCCAGCCAGCGACGUAUGGUCUCCGCCGUUGAGAGGCACAGUUUUCAGUUCAGAGAGACUCCUCAGUCCUCAGUCCUCACCCCACCCAUCUGGAUUAGAGCUCCAUAAUUAGCUAGAUAGAAGACAGAUCCCUUUAUUUACAAUAAUAAUAAUUUAAUUAAAUCAUGACACACCACCAAGUUUUAACAUUUCUUCUUGUCCCCCUCCCGCUCCUUGUAAACAUUUAAACUAGAUAGAUCGAUUGAUUUUAAACUCUCGGGGUAGGAGGAGGUUGAAUCAACCGUCAAUCUCAUUGUUUGAUGGAAUUAUUAACGGAAAAUGUAACCGAAAAAUAUGAUCGGUUAACUAACUGUAAUAUAUAUAUAUAUAUNNNNNNUAUAUAUAUUGGACUCUUUGGUGCACCGGAUGCACCAAGUACUCCCUUUUUCUGAAAAAGAUUUGGACUACAGGUUUUACUGAUCAAAUCUCAUCCAUCCUUCUUCUUUUUUUUUUUGAAAAAAAAAAUACAAAAUAAGCACCGUAAUUAAAUCCAGUAAACAUGAGGUAUUUGUUUUUCAUUUCCUUUCAUGUUUGUAUAUGGACAUGAUAUACGAAUCUUUAACAUCAUAAGAUUUAUAUUGCACUGACGAAUCAUUACAACUUGUUGAUUUGAAUGUAUUAUAAAGUAUUGAUGGAUGAUCCUAACGUCAUGCACUGUUAUUUCAUUUGAACGUUUAGUAUCAUAUAUCACACCCAAAUUGCACUCAUCUUUGGUCUACCUCUCAUGGCGCACAGUUCUUCUCCAAUCGGAAGAAGAAGUUCAUAAUCUUCAUCGACGGAAGUUUUACGCGUAAUCGUAUCCAUGGUUUCUCAUAAACCUUGGAGAAUGGGAAUUAUGUGUUUAAAAUCGGCGAGAGGGAUACGACGAUGGUUAGUCCAGGGUUGUCGACGUAUUCCGAUUAUCCGGAAUCGUGAGGGGAAGUCGCUGAUCUAGUUUGCGAAGGAGAGGGAUCUGAGGGAGAUGUGAAGGGAUUCCAAAAUUCGUUUUAUGGCUAUUGCUUGGAUGAGGCUGCCGGAAAGUGAUGUUUAAGGAUGAGAUUGACGAAGAGCCGUUGGGCUAAUUCACGAUUAGAGUUGUGGCAACUGUGACAAAGAAACAUCCCAAAGAUUUGAAUGAACUCUCAUAUAAAAACUAGAUUUUCUCAGGUUUCAGUGAUAAAAUUCAGAGAAGCGUUUUGUAACUUAUCAGCCCCUAACAUGAAGCUUUCUGGGAAAAGUAAGCGUUUUGUAUGGACUUGAAUCUCAGUACGAAAUCGUUCACAAAAACAAAGUGUAUUGAGGGGUUUAGUUACUUUCAGAUAAUGUUAUUGAGGGACAUUUAUGUGUAAGCAAAUAACAUGACAACCAUUUCUGUAAUGUUUCAAGUUGGUGCAUUGGUAUCCUGUUCCAGGGGCUGUGGCACGUAGAGUAUGUAAGAUGGACGGCAAAGCAAACUAAGCAAAUAAAAUGAGUUGCAAGCAACAGUUCAUUCUCUACGAAGAGAUAUACAACUAUAAUAUUUUUUUGCAGGUCUUUUCCUUUUGUUAAGGCAUCCACUUAAGGUUGCAGUAGUUAAGAGGCCCAGUCAUCCACACUGCACGUUUGUCCCUAGUUCCGGUGUACUUCGCCUCCCCGAUCUGGGCUUAUUUAAUUAGCAAGCAUGUUAUCAGUAAGUUUCAUGCUGUAGCCCACCGAGUAUUCAGUUAUGAAAUGCAAAAGAGGACUCAUUUUUCAUCCCUUUCAAUGUUCACCUAUCAAAUUUUCACAAAAAACACUAUGCGCACAAAUCUUGAACAACUAUUAGUUCUAGGACAUAGGGUUCAAAGACUCUUGGAUAUGCUUGAUCAAUUCCCAGUAAAACCAACCCUUCCACAUUACAAAUCACCAACCCAACUGCACCUCCAAGCGGUUUAAUCAUUGCGCCGUCAACAUUAAAUGUUUGUCCGAAACGCCGUCACACCACUUCUACCAGGCUGUAUCUAAAAGUUUUAAUCUUUGUCUUUUGUAAAUCCAAACUCAUCUCAUCUCACCCAUUUUAAGUUUUUUCAAUGAUAUUAAAUUUAAUUUGACCGGACUAAUGCGGGCUAAAUUACAUAAUCGCAAUCGAUUCCCACACUACUUACAACCGUUUGAGACCUCAUCUUAGUCACCAAAAAAAUUAAAGGUUUGAGACUUCAUCUAUUUUCUUCCAAGAUUUAAACCCUCUCCAUUGUUUCUCACUUAACCAAUUCUUUCUAUGAGAGAUUGAAUAGCUCCUUGUAUGUACAUCGAAUAUGAAUGUUGGGUUGCCAUCAUGAUAUACCACAUCGCUAAGAUAAAUAAAGGGAUGAAUACAUCUAGAUUAUAAAUAUAUUAUAGUGAGGUUUUCGAUACUUUUAAUUUAUUGAAUAUUUUCACUUUUAGAAUUUGAUCUUAACAGUUUAUUAUAAUUUGAUCAUAACCGUUUAUUAUAAGAUUAAAUUCCGAUCGUUCGGUAUUGUUAAUUUCUAAAAUUAAUUUAUUUCAUAAAACAAAUUCUUUAAAGGCCACUUGAUUUAAUUUCAAUUAAUAUACUGUAUGGUUUACUUUUUUCUUUAUAGUUUGAUAUUUCGUGUUAGUUUUUUUUAUAUAUGAACAUUUUAAUAUUAACAUUGCAUGGUUUAUUUUUAUCUUUAUAGUUUGAUAUUUCGUAUUGGUUUUUUUAUAUAUGAAUAUUUUAAUAUUAACAUUGCACUUACGAGUCACUUUAAAUUUGUAAUUUGAAGUACCCAGAUCCUAUGAGCUCCUACCACUCUAAAAACCUAUUCUAGGCUGACAAUAAACCAGCACACAACAGUAUAUGAAUCAAAUUAUACGGAAUCGUACACUUAAACUCCGCCGUCGUAAACCGAGCCUUAGUACGACUGCUCGAUCCAGGAGCUGUGAAUCCUAUAGCUGCUACCAUCCUCCAUGAGGAUCAGAACCGAGGUCAAAGACUCGAUCAGGACAGGAUCGAAGGUUCAUGUCAGAACCCUCUUUCAGUCUCGUCGACACCCUCCGGAGUCUGGAUGCGAGGGCACGUCGGAAUCGCCCAUGGUGUUGCUCACGUGGAAAAUAACCAAGGGAGGAACAUGUACAAAUUAGAGUUAGAAGCCGAAGAAUAGAUCAGAGAAAGAAGAAGGAAUUGAAGAAUAAAGGAAGGGCUUACAGUAGGUUUCCUUGCUUUCCGAUAAUCGACGGAGGAGGAGAGGCUUCAUCGAGCGACGCCAACCAAAGAAGGAGAUGGCGAUUGAUGAAGGGGCCGCGUCGUCGACUUCAUUGAGGAAGGAGAUGGUCGACAUUAAUGUGUCUUUUUCGGCCGGUGGGAUAUCCAAGUUCUGAACCAUAUUGAACAACAACAAUGAUAAUAACCCACAGAGAAGGCCAACCGGUCUUCAUAAUUCAUAUCACGAGGAUGUCAUUCACAGUAAGCCAACCACCAACUGCAACAGAACAUGCAACUACACAACCAUUGCUAUACUCAGGAAAUGCCAAUCUUUCAAAUGUAGAUAUCAAACCACCAAAUCCUAAAAGCUGGAAAUCCAUGUUCAUGGAUAACAAAGAACUGGAAAAUUAGAAUAAAAGACGAUGUGUAUCGUGUUUGAAACUUGGAAUGGGAAGCACCAAACCAGCAGGUUCACUAUGCAUGACGAACCUAUAAUUUGGAUGUGGAUUGCUAAGUAAUAUUUUGGAUGUAGACGAAUGGUUGAUUGAUGCUGAGUUAAUUGAGGGAAAGAUUCAAAACAAAAGACGAAUCAGUGGAUGAAGUUAGGUUAAUGAUGAAUAAUUGAUUUAACAAACCUAUUAGAAUGAUUAGUGAAUUUCUCGGAUUAAAGUUUAAUAUGGCAAGAUAAAAGUAAAUUAACAUUUGAUUUUGAUUAGAAUUAAGUUAAAUGAUCAUUUUGCAAUUUGAAUUUUGAAAUUAUUUCAAAUUCAAAAAUAAAAUUAUUAUUAGCCAUUGAAAUUACUGAUUCAAUGGUCCAAAUUAUCUUUACAAAAUUGGGAGAAUUUUCCAUAAUAUAUAUAUAUAUAUAUGGGGGAUAGAUAAACAAUUUAGUAACAGAGGAGGCCAAUCGCCAUGGCCAGUAAAGUAUAAGGGCCAAAAUGACCAUCUUCCAUCAAACUUAUUUGUUUGUUUUAUUUUUUCCGCUCCGGUAUUUUUUUAAAUUUUUAUUUCUCAUUUAACACAUCUAAUUAACUUCUGCACGGGACUCCACUCAUCGUCACCAAGAACGAUGACUCCACCACCAUUUUCGAUGUUGCGACUCUAGCCGAGCUCCACCACCGUGCAGACAAAUAAAUCACUCAAUCGCCGAGCUAGGAUAUCAAGGCAGGAGGGGUCGCAAUCGUGACCCUCAUCGCAACAUCCGCGGAUAACCAGAUGUAGGAGUAAAAAUUUUUAGAAAGGGUUAUUGACAGAUUUAGGUUGUGAGUCAAUUCUUAGACGGACCUCACCAAUCUCAUCAUGCACGCGGCUGUCUUUCGCAUCUUACAUUACUUGCACGGAUAAAAGAUCGUGGUCUCUUUUUCUCCUCGACAAUUUCCUUUCAUCUCUAAACAUUUACAGAUGUUUAAACUCUCCACGAUCUACUUCUAGGAUGUGUGUUCGGUUUGGAAAAUAUUUUAUUUCCUAGCAUUGUAAGAGCUAAAUAGGAUGUCAAAAGUCCUCUACUAAAGCCGCAUAUUGUUUCAUAUCCAAUUUUUGUUCUAAAAUUGUGUCUGAGUUCAAGAAAUGUUAGCUAACCUAAUUAAUCAUUCUAAUCAGAAACCACGUUAAAAUCUAUCGUUAUUAUCAUUCCUUUCUUCCCAUUCUCACACCUUAAUCUAUUUCCUCUUAUUUAACUCUAAAAAAUUAGGAAGUUAAUAAUAGUCUCGUGACUUAUAGUUACAUAGAUUGCCAAAAUGACCAAAAGAAAGAAACUAAAAUAGGAUGGAGGAGUAGGGGAAUCCAAAACAAACAAAUUAACACAACACAAGGAAUUGAUUGCUCUAAUUUGAUGUCAAACAAAAUUGCUACGACGAAAUCAUAAAAAUCAGGAUCUAGCAACAAUUCUGCGAUCUUGCCAGUUUGUUUCCUCAAUCGGUAUUUUAUUCCAUGUUUCCAGAGUUCCAUGCAUGUUAGCUCUCUCUCCUUGUCUCAGCAUUUCAUGCUCUAGCUGUUCAUUUUCUGUUUCUGUGUUCAUAUAUAGCAGAGCUCGUAUUUCCAUCGAAUCAAAUCAGGCUGGAGGGGGCUGUAGUUGUCGAGAUGGAAAGCAAAGAGACACAUGGGUCCGUUGGUGGUGCAAGCACCUCCUCCUCUUCCUCCUCCAAGAAAAAGCAAUCCAAGAGACCUAAAUGUAAUCAAAUCCUCUGGUUCGUCUUUCUUCAAUUCAACACUGUUCAUAAGACAUUCUUCAUUGAGUCAUGAAACUGCAGAUUCUAGGUUUUCGCAGCAGGAACUUCCGGCAUCUAAAUUCAUCAUAACACCAACGGUGGUACGAUCUUUGAUUGUAUUUCACGACUUUUAGCUACCCUUUUCCCUCCUCUUUGUUGGGUGUUCUUCUAAUUUGGCGAUUAAUAAAAAAGUAAAAAAAUAAUUCAGGUCAUUUCAACGUUUGUUGCAAUCGCCAUUGUGUUCAUCCCAUUCGGACUUGCUUCCUUAUUUGCAUCAGACCAUGUAAUAUCUUCAUCAAACAGAUUCUCUUAUUUCAACAUUACUUUUUUCAUCAAUGUACAAAGACUAAUUUUACUAUAUCCAUAGGUUGUCGAGAUAAUGCAUCGGUAUGAUAAUCUCUGUCUUCCUGAUACUUCAAAUGCUGUGAAACACAUCCAGAGCAAAGAGACCAACAAAACUUGCGCUGACAAAUUGACUGUUAGUCUCAGCUUCACUUUUUACCCAAAUGGUAAACAAUUUCGUUUCAACAAGAUCCCCUGUUCCUACAGAUUGUUUGUUGGAAUUUCUUUCCCAGGUCUCUAAGGAAAUGAAGGGUCCAAUCUUCAUAUAUUACCAGCUUGAUAAUUUCUAUCAGAAUCACCGCCGGUAAAUGUUAAACUUCACUCAGUGUGUACAUAUAUUAUCUGUGAAAUUUCUUGUAUCUGAGUCUUGCUUGUACAGGUAUGUGAAAAGUCGAAGCGACAAACAAUUGAAGAGCAAAGCAAGUGCGAAAGACACUGAAAGCUGUGCUCCUGAGGCUAACACUGACAAAGGCCCCAUUGUUCCUUGUGGGCUUGUUGCUUGGAGUCUUUUCAACGACACAUACAAAUUCGUUGUUAAGAACAAAGCUUUAGAUGUCAACAAGAAGAACAUCGCAUGGGAUAGCGACAAGAGCCACAAGUUUGGGUCCGAUGUAUACCCGCAGAAUUUUCAGAGUGGAGGCCUCAUUGGUGGUGGGAAACUAGAACCGAGCAAACCGGUGAGUGCAUCGUUCGAAUCCCACUCCGAGUGUUAGUUUUAUGACAUGGUAAAACUUAUACUUCUUUCGACAUGUAUGAUUCUGCAGCUGAGCGAACAGGAGGAUUUGAUUGUAUGGAUGCGAACGGCUGCAUUGCCGACAUUUCGAAAACUGUACGGAAGAAUCGAGGGUGACCUACAAGUGAAUGAUAAUAUUGAGCUUGUGGUGGAGAAUAACUAUAAUACAUAUAGCUACGGAGGGAAGAAAUGGCUCAUACUGUCGACGACAAGUUGGAUAGGAGGGAAGAAUGAGUUCCUGGGGAUUGCAUACUUGACCAUUGGUGGUUUAUGCUUGUUCUUGGCGGUCACCUUCAUACUUAUCUAUGUGCUUAGGCCAAGGUAAUGACUUCAGAAAUUAUACUCAACAAAGUGAUUUUGAAGGAUAACUUACAGAUUAUUAUCUAAAUUCCAUCCGACUUUUUUCUACGAAACUCAACCAAUAUCUUUUGAAACAUUAACAUGAUAUUAUUUAUUUAUCUGAAAAUUUGAAGAGGUUUCAAUUAAGUUGUGAUUUGGAAUUGACAUGUAAAUGCAGGCAACUUGGGGAUCCGUCUUACUUGUCGUGGAAUAAGCAACCACGAGAGCCAUGAGAAACUUAUUUUGUAGAAUUAGGUGUAAAUGACUUUUUAUUUAUGUAAUGUGAGUUAAUUUUGUAUUAGUCAAUAUUUUCUACGUGAUAGUUGUCUGUGGAUAUAGGCUUCAAUUAUAUAUAUAACUACUUUUUUAAAUUAACUUUUUUACAGAGCUAUUAUUGACAUGCUUGUUUCGAUUAGUUAUGGUUCGUAAUUUGUUGUACGAAUUGCCUUAUUGUUUAUUAUCCCAUGUUGGCGAAGCGAAAGAAGACACCAACAUUAUUCUCACCAGAUCGAUAAUUAUUGUUACUAUAAAAAUAACAAUUAUUAUUUUAUAUCAAAGUAUCCAAAUUUAAAAACAAUCGUUGCUCUCCAUCACAAUAACUAAAAUGCUUCUUGGAUAAAACCAGCUCUAUGCUUUAUAAUUUAUUGAUAUAUCAGUAUUCUAUCGAAAAUUAUAUCGCAUCAAGCUACAACAAGAGUACAUAAAUUGCCAGCCGUAGCAAACACAAGGAUUUGUUUGUGUAGAUAAAAAUAAUGGAAAAUUUUAGGUAAUUUGGAGUUUAAAAUCUUUUUAAAGUUAGAAAUUUGACUCAAAAUAGAAUAUUUAGUUGGUGUUAGUUUUGCUUCUUUGUUCGGAUAUCAUUCGUGAUUGUAAUAUUUUGAUGGAGUGUAAGGAAAAGGGUGUUUUCUCUAGCAAGAGAUCGGGCUCUAUGCAACCUUAUUUAAAGGUCUACAUGCAUCUUCUAUUGGGCGGAACUUAAUUUUAUCGAUCGCAAUAAUUUUAAUUCCUUUGAAAGAAAUGAGUAUAGCUUAAAUUAAAAAAAAAACACACAAAAAAAGAAGAUUAAUUAGGCGUUAUGAGACAGGAAAUUUGUUCUGGUGCAAUGAUAAUGUCUAAUUCUCUCUUGUUUUCUCGUUUCCAAUUCCCGCCUCCUGUACGACCGGAGGUCCGGCCACCGGAAAUAGUACUAAAUGCCGAUACCUCGAUAAGGGAUUCUCCUGAAUCCUCUUCAGCUGCCUUGAAUCGGGCAACCCAAAAGCCUCAUCUCAACCUGUUUCCUAUGCUUCAGUUCUUGGUCGUGAUCUACGUGUCGCUAUGAUCCCUCGGCAGACUUCUUCCAUUCCAGUGGAGGCGAUCAACAUUUUAUUAAGUCAUUAAAUGGCCACUGAUAUCUUGAUUCGUCGGGAGGGCUCCGUGCAAAGAUUUGUGCUCCACUGAGGAAAGCUUUGGUGGUCCGUGCAAAGAUUUGUACAAACUUCGGAAUAAGAUCUCAAAUUACACAAGCACAAUAACAUUAUUGAAUUGGAACAUAAAUUUAUACAAAAAAAGUAUAUAGAAUAUAAAUUUUCACAAUAAUAUGAGAAUAAGUACAGAAAUAGAAGUAAAUGACAAGAGGAACUCAAAUUUCAUUUCAUGAAAACUUCAGCAUUUGAACGAAUCAUUUCCAAAAUUUCAGUGAAAUUUCAUAUGUAUAUAUACAAAAAAUGGCAACAUCCAUAUACCGAAUCAAUAAGCUAAAAAUUAGAACACAUUUAACAAUAUAAAUUUCAUCUCAUAUCAAACCAAUAAAUGAUUAUAUUUCAUACCACGUAUAUAUAUGAUAUGAAUAAGCAUAAUAUAUGAAACAUUAGUAUGAAAAAUUAUAUAAAAAGUAAUAGAAGUAGUAAGAGUGCACAUGUGGAACAAAAGAGAUCAUACCACAUGAAUAAAGAUUAGAUCCAUUUGAAUAGAAGAUAAAAAUAUUAAGAAGACCUUUUAUCGAAAAAUAUUAAGAAGACCUUGUUUCCAUGUACCACAAAAUAAACUCUAAGGAAAAAAAACAUAUGAAUGUAAAUGUUGAAUAGUAAGAUUCAUACGAAAAUGAGUUAAGAUAAACAAUAGAAAUUAAGAUAUAUCUAUAAGUAACCUUUGCGAAUCUUUGAGAGGCUAGAGCUUCGUGCUGAUAACGUGUUAAGAAACUAAUGGAUUGAAAAAUAUAACUAUAAAGAAUAAUGGAAAGGAAGAGACACAAAAGAGAGGGAAAGAGAACUUUCUUCUUCAUUCCUUAUUGGUACAAGAUGAACAUCUAUUUAUAGGUGAUGAACAAUUUCAUAGGAUUCUAGCAUUAUUACAUAUAUGAAUAGGUAUAUGAAUGAGCACAUGAAUGAGUAUAUAAAUGGGGCUAUGAAUAGUAUUGAAUUACAUUGAGUAAUGGACAUUCAUCACAUAUANNNNNNNNNNNNNNNNNNNNNNNNNNNNNNNNNNNNNNNNNNNNNNNNNNNNNNNNNNNNNNNNNNNNNNNNNNNNNNNNNNNNNNNNNNNNNNNNNNNNNNNNNNNNNNNNNNNNNNNNNNNNNNNNNNNNNNNNNNNNNNNNNNNNNNNNNNNNNNNNNNNNNNNNNNNNNNNNNNNNNNNNNNNNNNNNNNGGCCGUUCUGGACCGUCGAUGGUCAACGCUGACUGUCUUUAAGGGUUGUCGGCGUUGAUUGCCGACUAUGUAGGUCAUGCCGUCGGCAUGGCGACCGGUCCUUUUUUUUUAAUACCUCGUCGGCGGCGACAUUUGGCGGUUUUUAAUGAUCGUUUCAAGGAGGUGUGAAAGUUCUUCGAAUUUGCGCAUCUUAUAAAGAAAUUUUUAUUUUACUGUUUAAGGGUCGUUUAGGUCAUUUCAAUUACCGUACUCAAAUAUUGAGACGAUAUUAGAACGUUUUACGGUAAAAUAUAAGACGACAUAUAACAAUUCCUUAAUAAUUAGGAUCUCGAAUCCAUCUUUUUUAAAAAAAAAUUAGGAGUUGUCUGUGUUUGAAUCUUGCAAUUAACAACAGCCACAUAUGUUGUUAACUAGAUGGUGGCUAGUGAGUUUUCUUAUAGUGGGAACAAAAAACAUAAGUGGUAACAAACGUAUAAAUGGCAUCAAAUCAAAUUAGCUCACUUCACUUAUGUUAAGUGUUAACCAAUUCCUUCAUUUUAUAUGUUAUCAGCUAAGAAUCCCUUUCAAACCCAUAUAAUUAAUUUCUCUACUCUGUCAAUUCUACUCACUUAAUUUUUUUAUGACUUAGAAUGGUUGGCUAGCUAGGUGAACAAGUUCGGAAAUCGUUUGAUUGAUAUUUUUUUUCAUCUUCAAAACAUAUACUCAUGUCUUCCAUAAUGAAUUUUCAAUGAACGUAACAAAUAUUAAUAUACAUCAUAAAAAAAUUAGAGUUAGCUUUGUCUAAAUCUAACACAUGAUGGGCCUAACCCCAUUAUGUUCAAUACCAUCUGGUGUUAAGUCAAUUUUUUGGUUGGAGGAACAAGGAGUACGGUAUUCCAACUUAAUUUGAUGUCAAAUUUAAUUUUCUAUUUUCUAUUUUCUAAAGAGAAGUUAGGAUUCGAAUCAAAACUUCUGAGCAUAUAUCCAUAGCUACACUAAUCGACAACCUUAACCAGGUCGGUUAAGAAUAUUUUGUAUCGAUAUAAAGCAGGCGAUUAUGUAAACUGCAACUUGUUAAUUAACAAAUUGUAGUAAGAUGGUAAUUGCUUAAAGAAUCAAAUGCGCCUGGUUGUAAAGAGCAUGCAAUUUCAAGUGAGUGGGGCUCAAUUAACUCUACACCAUUGCAUGCACCCCUGGGGUACGGUUGUCUAAUUAUAAUUUUAAUUCUAACCUACUGUUUUUAAGUUGUAUUUGUGGUUUUGAAAAAUAGAUUUCAAUAUCAUGCUGAAUUAUAUGUAGCCGUCAGAUUAUUCUUUUUUAGCUUUUUUAAUUUACAGGUUCAGAUUAAUGUGGGUAGUUUUGAUCGGAUUAUAUAUAAUUUAAAAUAUACUAAUAUAUAAAUACAAAGAAGAUUAUAUAUCAUCAAAACUUUAAUGGGAAGAUAAACUAUAUCUUAGUAUGAAAAAAGACUACUAAAUCGCCAAUGGCAAACAAAAGAGAGUAAAAAUGUAAUGUGUCAAAGUGUUAUAAUUUAGCCCUCAAAGUGCUUCAAUACAAGGUUAUAAAGUAGCAAGGAAGUAAAAUAAAGUUCCUUUAACAUUUAUCAUUGGAGAUGGUAUUCUCUAUAAUAGCUUGCCUCAACUCAAAGUAAGGUGAUUUUGAGUUAGUAACAUGUUAUAGUAUAUUUAACAGGUUGUGUUACGUAAAGAAAAAUUGUUAUUACGUAAGCCUUACGUAACAGCGUUUACUCUUACAAAACAUGCUUAAUUUUUCUUGUUAUGUAACAGGGCGGAGCUAGCCUUGGGCCGGGGAGGGCAAUCGCCCGUCCUGGAAUUAUAAAACCUUUGAGUGUAUCCCUCAAUCAUAACGUAUAUGUUGGUGUAGUGGUAAAGAUUCAUUUAUAUUCCGAGGAGGACCCUAAACCAACCCUCAGGCACAACAUUUUAAGAUUUAUUUUCUCUUAUACUUUUGCUUUCUUUCACAUGAACAAUCCUUUGACUAUCUAAUUUUGCUGAAUUGAUCAUUCAAAGUUCAAAGAUAGCUAUAAAUUUCUUUUAAGAACUUUUUCUCUGAUCACUCAAUUUUCUUAACAUAUAUAUAAUUAUCAUCGUUGGUUAUUGUUAUUUUGUCAUGAUUUUUGACAAAAUCUCGCCCCUUCUAGUAAAAAUUUCUGGUUCCGCUCCUGUUAUGUAAGGAAAAACUGUCAUUACGUGAGACUUAUGUAACGGCAUUUACUCUUACGUAACAUGUUUAAUUUUUCCGGUUACAUGAGAAAAAACUGUCGUUAUGUGAGGCUUACGUAACGGUCUUUACUCUUAUGUAACAUGCUUAAUUUUUCCUGUUACAUAAGGAACAACUGCCGUUGCGUAAGCCUUACUCUUAUGUAACAGGCUUUACUCUUACGUAACAGGCUUAGUUUUGCCUCUUACGUAAGGUUGACGCAACGGCCUUUACUCUUACGUAACGGGCUUAGUUUUGCAUGUUACAUAAGGAUCAACUGCCGUUAUGAAAGACUUAUGUAACGACAUUUACUCUUACUUAACAGGUUUAAGUUUUACCGUUACAUAAGGAUCACCUGCCGUAAUGUAACGACCUUUACUCUUACACAACACGCAUAAUUUUGCCUAUUACGCAAGGAUCAACUACCUUUACGUAACGCUUAUGUAACAUCCUUUACUCUUACUUAAUAGACUUAAUUUUACCUGUUACGGAAGGAACAACUGCUGUUACGUAAGCCUUAAGUAAUAUCCUUAGUUUUACGUAAAGUUUACGUGACGGCCUUUACUCUUACAUAACAUGUUUAAUUUUUCCUGUUACAUAAGGAUCAACUAUCGUUACGUAACGACAUUUACUCUUAUGUAGCAGGUUUAAGUUUGCAUGUUAUGUAAGGAUCAACUGAUGUUACGUAAGGCUUAUGUAAUAUCCUUUAUUGUUACGUAACAGACUUAAUUUUGCCUGUUACAUAAGAAAUAACGGUCGUUAUGUAAGGCUUACGUAACAACCUUUACUCUUACGUAACAUACUUUAUUUUUGUCUAUUACAUAAGUAACAAUUAUCGUUAGGUAAGGCUUAUGUAACAUGUUUAAUUCUUCUCAAACAAUUAGCCAUUCCCAAACAAUUUAGAUUUGAUUUUAUUAAUUCAAACCGUUACCUUAUUUUGAAUUAACACAAAUGAGAUGACUUGGAGGUGGUGUUGAGAAAAAAAAACAAAGUUUCUUUUAAAGAUCUGGUCAGUGCUACUUAGUUGUAAGGUUCGUUAGAGGAAAGCAAUUAAGCAAAAGAACCUUAAUCUCCAAAAAGAAUAAGUUCAUGGAUAAAUUCUAAAACAUCGUGUCAAAUUUUCUAAGGGCAACUAUUUAAACUUGGCAAUUGGCUCCUCAAGGUUCUCAUAAUAGCUCGCUUGGUCCCUGUACUUUGAAGUCUGAAUACAGGAGAUGGGACUCACAAGUCACAACUGCAGCUCAUAUUUUUGAACGAAGGAGGCAAGGCAAGCUAAGGGAUGCUUCAUUUUGAUGUUAUGUUGUUGACCGGUAUGACAGUGAAACGGUGAACCGCUUAUCAAAAUGGUUUAGUAGGAUUUUGAUAUAUUUAUGGUUUAAUUUUAAUAUAACUAAAAUUUUAUAAUGAUUUAAGCAAUUCAACUACGUAUUAUUAAACUCUCCAUACACCCCAUCUAGCGAACUAGCAAAUGUAUUUAUUUGAUACUAAUGAAAAAUAUGCAUGGCAGGUAACUAGCCCUAGAAAGGUAUACAUAAGGUGACAUUUUUUAAAGUGUCUUGAAGUAACUCAAGUUAUAGUAGCUAGGAUAAUGAUGAGGUUAAUUAUAAUCAGACGAGGUUGAGCCGUCACUAUCGCAAAGUAAAUGUUGUUAGUUUAUAAGCUGACUAACAUAACCUACAGAGACCUAAUUUUAGCUUAUUAAUAAUCGCAAUAAUAAUGAUUUUUAAGCUACGUACCAUAAGCUACUCAUAGUUUAAAUAAAAAAAUCAUAUGACUAUCAUGAACUCGGAUUAUGCGACAUACAUUAAGCUACUUCAAGCCAAUAUGAGUUAUCUCUAGUUACUGUGCGAUCUUUUAUCUAUCUUGUGCUAGCUUUUAGUACUGUUGAGCUACUACUAAGUAAUAAAGGGCCUCAUAUUUGAAAUCCAUUGAAAAUGAAGAUGAAAAUAGAUAUUGACAACUCGAAAAAUAUGUAGGUGAAGGCUGUAAGAAUGAACAUAUACAGACGAAAAUGAAAAUCGACCAACCCGUCAAAGCCCAUUUGAAACUGAUCAGAUGAUAUGUUUUUGAGAAUUACUGUUUGAGAGCCUAUUUUUGAAUAAAAUAAUGCCUUAGGUUUCGUAAAAAUGACAUUGUCUAAAUUUAUUCUGUCGAAAAAUUAUCUCACGGUACAUUUCUCUCUAUAUUUUGCUAAAUUUUUGCCUGCCGGACCAAAAUUCCAGCCGUCCAGAAGGCCCAGCUUCUAGGCCGCCGAAAUGCAGUGUCAGUCGGACGGUCUUUCUGCCGAAAUUUCGGUCGGGCCGGUUUGAAUUUUUUAAAUAUUUUAAUGAUCUCAUUUAAUUGUUAUUUCAAGUAAUCACAUUCGUCAGAUGGUUUUAACGUUCGUUGGAUGCACUAACUCGUCAUGAGUAAUUCGGUAAGUGGUCGUUAAUUAUGUUAGAGAAAUAAGUGAAUAAAUACGAAGAUGUGUCCCAUCUAUCAGCUAACGACUUACCCGCUCUACGCUCAUGUCGCACCAUCCUAGCAGGCCUAACACUAGGAAAGUACUCGCAAACUCAGGACUGGAAAAAGUAAUACAACCUGUCAUCCUCCUUGCCUCUGCACGACUAGCCUUGUCGAGCUCGCAAUACAACCAAGCUAAUGUGCCAACAGCCCAAGCGUAGUCUCGUAUCUCAUUGUAUGCCCCCAUGAUGUACUCCUGACCCACCAGACGGGAACGAUCAGCAGACCUGUCCUGAAAAAGAGUACCCUCGAGAAGACAGAAUAAAAAUACCUUAUAGGCAGUCUCAUCCCCUAAAUGCUUGCUGAUCCCGAACAUAAUCUUCUUGUACAUGGCGUGAUGAUUCAAAGCCGCCACAGACAAUCCCAAGCGACUCAGCUCCCACCCUCAGAGAAUUCAGAUCUCAAGGCUGAUGAAGUGCACGUCCACUAACCGGGAUACGGAGUAUGUAGAAGACAUUAUGCAGUGUGAUUGUCAUCUCCCUCCACGAUAUGUGAAAGGUGUUAGUAUCAGGCUGCCACCUCUCAACAAAUGCCUCGAGGAGAAGAUCAUCAAAAUGGGUGGACAUGCAAUCUCCCAAGUGAAGUAGUCCUGAGGCCUUCAUAAUCGACCAAAUAGUCCUGGUCUAGAUGUCAAAUUCAACGCUCACAUUCGCCCAUUGUUUAAGGCACUUCAUGAAUCUGAAGGUCUUCAGAUCUAUGUAUCCCUCCAUGGUCUGCUACAGGUAAUGAGCAAUGUGACCACCAAAACUGGGGACCACUGUCGUCCUCAUCGGUCCACCAUCUGAAAGCCCCACAGUAAACUUUCAAGUAAGACUGAGUCCAUCAUCGUCCAGUCUAGUGGCGUCCUCCUCCUUUACCUGCGCAAGUCGGCUAGGUUUUUCUCCUCUAACCCCAACACUUGCGGAGGCAUGAGACGAGCCUUUAGAAGUCAAGUGUGUAGAUGUCAAGUGCAGAGGAUCUACGUGCGGAGAAGACAAGUGUAGAGAAGCCAUGUGCAGAUGGGCCUGUACAUACUCGUACUCAAAGGAGGGCGGUGGGACCUCAUCCUAGUCAUCAUCUGGAGGAAAGGUCAUAACCGGGUACGUAACAUGAGGGUUUAGGCCAUAACCAGUCUGGGAGUCGUAGAUUUUCGUCUUCUUGUUCUUCUUCAAGAUAGCAGCCUCUUUCCGCUUCGAAGCGGUGAUCUAUUGCUCUGCCAGCCGAUCUUAAACGGCCGCUUGCUUGUCUUUACCUCUCAUUUUCUUGAUUCCAUCUAUUUCUUCUUCAACCAGAUCAGUAUUGAUCGAUUUAACUCCACCCUUUGUCCUUGCCAUUUUUUUCAACAAACUAAAUUAUACCAAAGAAAACACUAGUUAAUUACACGUUAAUUUCUAAUGUAGUUAAUUUUAAAUAAAAUUUGCAUUAUGCUAAACUAAGUUCACUUAUUACACAAUUUCCUAACAAAAUCAAUUAUUAGUAAUCACAUUAUCAACAUAGCAAUUGAUUAAUAACUAAUCCAAUUAUUAAUUUCUCAGUUAAUUUCAAUAGUAAAUUAUUCACACUACUUCAAUUACUCACUGACAAAUUACUAAUUCCCCUAAUUACUCACUAUUAAUUAUUUAAUUACUUUAAUUACUCACUAACAAUUAUCUAAUUAUCCUAACUAUACUAAUUACAUAAAUUAAAUUAAAGAAAGGGCCGGCCGGCCGACGGUUUCGGCUAGAAACCCGCCCAGCCGGCCACUAGUUUCAGCCGAAGCAGCAGCCAAGCUGGAAUGGCUUCAAAGAAGCUCCACGGAUCUUCGAUUUCUUCUUCAGAUCUUCGUUUGAGAGUGUUUUAGUUUGUUUGUGAGUGUAUGUAAGUGUUUGAGUUAGUCGAUAUACACAACUUCCUAUAUGAAUUUCAAUUUUACGAAAGGAUAAUAACUUAAUUUACUCAAUCUAGGGUAUUGUUUAAUUCGAAAACUAGGGCGUCGUUUAGAGAUUCAGUAUGUUUUUUUGUUGUUGUCGGGACUAUUUUUUUUGGUCAAGUAUAAGAAAGAAAGAUUUAUUCAAAAAAAAGUACACAAUAGAAAAUAAAUAAACAUUACAUUGGAUGUCCGUCUGUGCAAUAUAGUUGGAUUUGAACCCAAUACUAACAAAUAAGUAUUUAUAUUUUAAAAAAAAAGUAAGAAGUAAGUGGUGGAAAAUUCAAGAAUAUUAACCCCCAAGUAUUUAUAUUGUUUUCUCAACUGACCAUAGAAACUAAAAUACAAGCUAAUUAUGUGAAGCAUCACAUGGAAGCAGGAGACAUAUGGCCCAUUGGAAUACUACGAAAACAAUAAAAAUAAAGUGCUAUAUUCGGUUACGACGAAAUGAUAGGCUAGGAUUUCCUUAAAUAGGUGAAAAAGUAAAGUAAUUUUAUUAGGGACAGAACAUGGAAAAAAAACUAAAUGGAAUGGAAGUGUAUUAUGUGAUUAAAACGUUGUAUAAAUUCACUACCCGACAAGAAGUCGCAAAGUGAAAGGACAGGAAAAGCGUAUCUGGAAUUGGAAAUCCUCCUACUUUCUCCUCACACACAGCACACCAGCUGGUUGAAAAAGAUUUUUAAUGAAUUUUGGAGACUCUGUUUUGAAAAUAGAUUUUUAAUGUUAUUUAUACUUUUCAUUUCUGGACAUUCCGUAUUAAUAAUUUCCCUAAUUUCGGUAUGGUUUUUUUGCUUUUUCAAUAUUUGUAUGGAUUCCUCACAAUAAAAGUGAUCAAAAAAUAUGAGACUGUUUCGCUCAAUCAGUUUGUGCAGUGUUUUUUACAAAAGCUUUACGAAAUGAUUGGCGAACAAAAUGAAAGGCUCUAUGGACCGUCUUAUUGGUCUGAACCAAAUCAGCUUCGUCCCGGAAAGAUAGAUUAUCGAAAAUAUCAUCAUCAUUCAGUAAGUGGUCCACUCAAUGAGGCUCAAGACUGGACGGCAAUGCAUACUGGCAAUUAAGCUGGAUUUGACAAAAGCUUAUGAAAGGGUUGAGUGGUCAUUUGUGAGGGAUACUUUGGAGCAAGCACACUUCCCUUCGCAAAUGGUCAAAGUCAUCAUGGAAUGCAUCUUCUCAGUCACUACUCAAGUUCAGUGGAAUGGGGCGUUGACGGAAUCCUUCAAACCUGGGCGAGGUCUUUGACAUGGAUGUCCUCUUUCCCCUUACCUCUUUACCUUGUGCAUUGAGCGUUUGUGUCAUCUGAUUUUGUCUUGCCUGGAUGAUGCGAGUUGGAGUCCCAUCUCACUCGGUUGUGGUGGGUCUCCCCUCUCUCAUUUGUUCUUUGCUGAUUAUUUGGUUUUAUUUGGUAGUGCCACUAUGGAUCAGUGGCAUACUAUUGAAACUGAUUUUCUAGAUUUUGUGCUGCGUCUGGUCAAGUGGUUAGCCAAGAGAAAUCUAGAAUUUUCUUCUCCAAGAAUAUUCCCUCUCGGCUCCGCUAUGCUAUUUGUAGUACUUUGGGUUUUCGGAAGACCAAAGAUCUUGGUUGAUAUCUAGGUGUCCCUAUUCUUCAUGGCCGGGUCACGUUGAAUACCUAUCAAUUUGUUUUGGAUAGGAUGGAUGCGAAACUUGCAGGUUGGAAGAGCAAGACUAUGUCUCUGCGGGCAGGGUCACUCUUGCUACUUCCGUCCUGAAUGCUAUUCCUUCUUAUGUCAUGCAAACGGUUGCUCUUCAUGUUGAGAUUUGUAAAACAAAUUGAUCAACGUAUUCAUAACUUUGUGCGGGAUAGCCUUCCAGAUGGGAGGAAGCCCCAGUUGGUGUCUUGGGAUGAUGUGUGCAGACCUAAGGAGUAAGAAGAGUUGGGAUUGCGAAUAGCCAAAGAGUUCAAUGAAGCCUUUCUCAUGAAGCUCGCUUGGAAUAUCUUAGCGCAACCAGACGCUCUUUGGGUCAAAGUACUUCUUGGAAAAUACGCUAGACAUGGCGAGGAUGGUUACGUGGUGAUUAGGAAGAAGAUGUCAUCUCCCUUUCGGCGUGUUAUUAGGAGGCUCUCGGGCAUGGUUCAGAAACAAGUUUCUGGUUUGAUAGCUGGAUUGAUGGCGAUAUCCUUUUAGCUAACUUUGUUGAUCCUAAUAGUUUAGGGGACAAAGCGAACUGGAUGGUUCGAGAUUUGGUGACCGAGCUUGAUGAAUGGAACUGGAAGGAACUGGGGAGAGUUCUUCCGAGAGAGGCGCAAGAGUUGGUCUGUGGGAUGGUACUACCUAUUGGCGACGAGGAGGAUGGUGUACUUUGAAGUCUCGACCCUAAAGGGCAUUUUUCGUUAAAAGUGCUUAUUUCCUUCUUGCAUGUAUUCAGGAGAGUAACUCCCAACUAGCUUGGAAGAAAAUUUGGCGCUGGAAUGGUCCGAAUAGGAUUGUUCACUUUCUCUAGAUGGCAUUUCAAAGCAGGAUCUUUACUAAUUUGGAGUGGAAGCGAAGACAUUUGACUGACCAAGAUGAAUGCAGUGUUUGUAAGUUGACAACUGAAACCCCUCUUCACUUGCUUCGUGAUUGCAGCACUGUUGUUUGGCUGUGGCGGAGUGUUUUGGGUGCCGAGUGCUGAGUAUUUUGGGUGCCAAAUGUUGGCCGAAUUUUAAUUCCCAAAGUUUUGAGGAGUGGAUGUUGUUUGGUAUAUCCCACCCAUCGAGAUCUUUAGAGUUUGGGAUUAUGUGUUGGAUACUUUGGAAGAACCGUAACGAAUUGGCCUUUCGCGUUGCCUCGAUUUCCUGCGAUCAGCUCCGCCUACGAGUCCUUUACUAGAUCGACGGGGUUUUGGAGACAAUGAAAGUGGGGACAGAGCAUUUUUCGAAAGCCAGUUCAGUACAAGAAGAAGUGCAUAUUGGUUGGAAUGCUGUGGCUAGGGAUUAUAUUACGAUUAAUACUCCCGAAUCAGUCAUCCAACCAAACAACAGUGCAACUGCAGGAGGGGUUAUCAGGAACUCGGAUGGUAAGGUUCUUCACUCGUUUGCAGCUAUGGGACGAUGUACUAUCACUCGAGGCGAGUUGCAUAGAGCUAUCAUCUGCCUCAGGUUUGCUUAGAAGUGCGGUUAUCGCAAAGUUAACCUACAGCUUGAUUCGCAUUACGUAAUUUCAAUAAUGCUUGGAGAACCUCCAGAUGAUUUUCAACAUUUAUCUUGUAUUUUGGAAGCUAAACAACUUUUCGACAGAGAUUGGGAUUUGCGUGUUACGCAUACCUUUCGUGAAGGCAACCGUGUUGUGGAUGCCCUUACCCACUAUUAGCAUUCUCUUCCCUUUGGUUGUUCUUUUGACCCCUCCCUUCCGUUGGUGGUUGUGGAUUGUAUUCGAGCUGGCUUGAUUGGGGUUUCUUUUUCCCGUUCUAUUUUGAUUAAUGAUUAAAACCUAGCAUCGUCUUUCUACCAAAAAAAAGUGAUCAAAGGUAAUUCGAGAACAAAAGAGUGAAGAAAAAUAAAUAAACAAAUAAAUUGCAUUGAGGGGAAUAAUAUUCCCUCUGUAAUAAUGACAAUUUGAUUUCUGUAGGGAUAGUAGGGCAAUAUUUAUAGUUAUGGAGUUAGGUAGGGUGGUUUCAUUUUGCCGGAUGGGUGAUCUGGACAAUCGACUGAAGGCGGUCCCCUGAAAUAACGUCAGGUGUGCCAGGAGCGAUGACCUAGUUACAACGAGUUUAGCCCGCUUAUUCUUUUAAGCCAACUCAUAUAUAAUUGAGGGUUAUUAAGACUAAUUGAUUAAAUCGUAUGUUGCCCACUCUCAGACUGCUCCAUGAACUCUCUCCUCCGGACAAUUGACUGUGAUACGACCUUCACCAGACCCAUCAAAGAUGCAUGGCGUGGAGGCUUAAUUGGGGGGAAAAAAGACAGAAGAAGUAGAUGAUUAAGCAAAGAACAAUCAUAUAAUAUAUAAUUAACAAUAUAAUUAAUGUUGUCUUAUCAACUGAGAUCCAGAUUAUAAUAAUAUGCCUUUAAAACAAUUAAUAAAAUGAACGUACGGAAACAAGAGGGUGUGGCCAGUGGAGAAAGAAUUAAAGGCACGAAUGAGUUUUAACUAACUUUUUUUUGUUAAUAAUUAUAUAAUUAAUUAAUUAAGUAAGUAAUAUAUAUAUAUAUAUAUAGCUUUAAUUUAGAGCACCGAGUGAUCUUGAAAUGGAAAAGGUGUGAACUAAUGUUAAACAUGCCAUUUCAGGAACUUAUUCUGUCUGUCAACUCCCCCUUUCUGUUCUGUGUGUACACACAAACAUCAACCAAUCGCAUGCCUGUGCCGCAAAACAACAACCUUCACGUGUGGCUCCAUUAAAUCCCUCAUAGCCAAUUUUAGGGAGUCUCUCUUAAACUACGAACCGAUUUGUUUUCAAGUUUAAAAUUUCGAUAUUCUAUGGAAAAAAAAUAACCAGUGUUUUUUUAAAAUACGGCUCAGCACGUGUUAAUUUUUUCAUUCUAAAUCUACCGCUCCUCAUUAAACAAUAAAAUGUGGUCAGUCGCUUGAUAUACAUGGGGCCUUUCCAGGCCCUGACCUAUUCAAUUUUAAAAUUUUGAAAUGUAAAUUUUUUAUAUUUAUAGAUGGAUUGUUAUUUUUUCUAUAUGCGACACAUUAAUAUAUUUAAACUUUUAUAUAAUUCAAGCUAGUGCAUUCAACUAUAUAUUCGAGAUGUACCGGUUAUAUAAAUAUAAGAGAGACCUCUCAUGCAUCUUUGGACAACCUCCUCAACCCACUUUUCCAACUACACACAUCCUCUAGACUAGCUAUCUUGUCUUGAAUACACAUGCGUCUGUUGACGAGGACGAUGAUGAUGAUGAUGAUGAUGGAAGUUCACCAUCUCCAUCACAACACAACCACUACAAGUACUCUUCUUCUUUUGCUUCUCCUUACAGUCUCAACUACUACAACAGCAACUAGUAGGCCACUUAUAAACAACAACAACAACAACCAUGAUGAGCAACAUCAACAUCCGCCUCCUCUGCCACAACCUCCCGGAGCUCCGGGAGGUGGCGGUUUGACUCCUCCAAUGCCACCGGGGCCACCGGCUCCAAUAAGGGUUGGAUUGGCGAACCGUUACAAAGUGAUGGAGGAAGAUGCUUACAGACCAACCUCUCCUGGUCAUAGCCCUGGCGUUGGUCAUAAUAGCCCCCCUACUGCUCCAUGAACCCACCCCCGACCUAGCUAGCUACUUUGUUAUAACUGAGAUUCCCCCCCCCCAAUAAUUAUUACAAUUUCUCAUCGAUUCCUCUGUUGACGAUUAUAAUUAGUUAUUAAGGUGUAUAGUUAGUUACAAACAACAAUAACCAGUUACAAUAUCUUUAUGUAACUAAUUAAAGAUGGUUGUAAUUAGUAUCGGAAGAUGGUUAGACUCUUACCGGAGGGGAUAGCUAGAAGUUUUAAAGAAAAAUAUAUUGCUUUAUUGAAAGGUCUAGCUAUCUACUUAAAUAUAAGCAGUAAUGUCUAAGAUGAAUGUUUGAUCAUGUAUGUUUCACGUUGUUUUGACGGAUUCAUCUACUAUCGAUAUAAAUCAUUCAUUUACGUGGAAUAGUUUAAUUGAUUGUAUUUUGUACUGACAACUCUAAAUAUCCUCAAUUCGAACCCAAAACAACCUAUAUAUAGACAUAAAAUAAUAAGUAUUCCUUGUAUUCUCGAUCUUUUAUCUCCGAUAAAGAAAAAGAUUUUUAGUUAUUGUACGCUGAAUUUAAACUUGAUUCCUUUCCUGUUUUAGCUUUAAUGGAUGGCUGAAAUAAAAUUAGUAUCCCCGUUAUUUGUUAACCAUAUGUUAUGUUGUAAAUAAUAUUAUUAUAAAAUACUGAAAGGGGAGGCUACAUGGCAUGCACCUGGUUAUAAUUCUGUUGAACGAAAUGGAACAGGAUUAACCUACGAUGUGUGUUUCGCUUCAUUGUAGUCAUUCCUGUUUGGAACUGGAAAAUGACUCGUAGCUCCCCAGAAAAUAAAUCCAGACCGUUGGAUCUCAUCUCCAAGAUCGAACGGUUUAGGGGCAGCAACGUAUUUUACCUCCUCCCAACCACGCACUCACUGCUGCUGCCGACUCCGGUGGCCCGCCUCUCUAAUUUCUUCCUUCCAUGGUGGUGGAAUCAUUCGUUAUGGUCACGGAGGUGGAACUUGGCGGGCAAACCCAGGCCACCGUCUAGGACGAAUCCCUAUGUAAAAAUAGGAAGUUUUCGAAUUUUGCAUAAUGUGUUACAGAAUCUCUUCCAGUGUAUUUCUAAAUCAACCCAGCAUUGAACAGUUAUUUGAAACUCACUUAUUAUAUACGGUUAUUCUAAACUAGAUGGAGUUAGAAAGAAUCUCCACUCACUUAUUUCUUCGUCUCGAGUAUUAAAUUAUAUGUAAAUAAGUUUUGAUGAUUUAAUAAUUCGACUAAUAGUAUUUGAAAUUUUGAUCCUGUACUUAUUUGUUAUAAGUUUGGAUAAUCGUUUUGUGAUAGUUAUUGAUUUGGGAGAGUUGAAGUCGCACCCGCGGCAAAGGCUUGGUGAAUAUGUCUGCAACUUGGUCCAUGGUGGAAAUGUAUGAGAUUUGCAGAUGUCCUUGUUCCACUUGAUCCCUGAUGAAAUGAAAAUCGAGCGCAACAUGCUUGGAGCGGGUGCUGAUUAAUGGAUUCUUACACAUGAAGAUAGCACCAACAUUAUCGCAAUACAGAGGUGGUGGUGCGGAGAGCGGAUUGUGUAGUUCCUUAAGCAAAUGAUCGAUCCACAUCAGUUCCGCCGUCGUAUAGGCCAGAGAUCGGUACUCGGCUUCGGUACUGGAUCGUGCGACGACUCGUUGUUUGCGAGAGGUCCAACUGACGAGAUUGUUCUCGUGGUAGAUGGCAUAACCAUACUAAGAGCGACUAUCAUCUGAAUCUGAUACCCAGCCAGCAUCUGAAAAAGAGAGAAGUCGAGUGGCCGUCGUUGGAGCAUAGUGCAGAGAUUGCUUGAUGGUACCAUUGAGGUAGCGUAGUAUACGUUUGACUGUUUGCCAGUGAUCGACGGUUGGAGCAUUCAUAUAUUGACAUACUCGGUUGACAGAGAAUGUAAUGUCUGGUCUUGUAAUUGUUGCAUACUGUAGAGUGCCCACAGUUUGACGGUACAACUAAGAAUUAUCAAAAGGAUCACCAGCCUUUUGUAAACGUCGUUGCGAAUCGGCCGGUGUACUAAUUGGAGAAGACGAAUCCAUGUUGGUGAGCUUGAGGAUACCACGAAUGUAGUUCUGUUAACUGAUUUCCAGACCAGCAACCGUGUGUUUGAUAUCAAGUCCCAAGAAAUGGUGAAGGCGACCCAUGUCCUUUAAGGCAAAAACUUGAUCCAACGUUGUGAUGAAAGAGGAGUUGUAAUAGGAGUCGCUUCAUGUGAUUAUCAAAUCAUCGACAUAGACAAGUAUAUAUGUAGUCGAUGUAGCCGUAUGAUUAACAAAAAGAGAUGUAUCCGCCAGACAUGCUCGAAAACCAUGAGAUACUAAAUACCCUUUUAAUUUGUUGAACCAUGCCCGCGGGGCUCUGAUACCACGGUUGGGUGCUAUUGGGCCUUCUCACCCCAAAAGUUAGCUCUUAGGGUGAGGCUUUCCCUCACACUUAUAAAGUGCACCCAGCCCCUUCCACUCUCCGAUGUGGGAUAACCCAACAACCUCCCCCUCACACAUCGGUCUCUCGGUAGGCAUUACCUAUCUACCAACUUUGUGGUAGCCUCACCACCGGCAGCAUCGGGAACAAGGUGAGUUUCUGGCGGCAGAACGGGAGCCAGAAUAUAGGAAUCAAGAUCGAAGGUCUCUAGGGCUGAGAGCACUGUGGAAUGCCAGAGACAAUAAUUUUCCCGGUCUAGUUUGAUAGUGAUCGAAGGAAGAGUGAGAUUCAGAGGAGAAGCAGAAGAGGCUAGGUUGAGAAAAUUGUGGACGGCCAUUGGAAAGAUGAGGGGAGGCAGAGAAAACGUGUAGAAUUAGAAGAGUAAAAGAAAGCUCUGAUAACAUAUAAGUUUGGAUAAGCGUUUUGUGAUAGUUAUUGAUUUGGGAGAGCUGAAUAUAUACAAACAAGAUACAACUAAUGGCUUGAUCUUCAGGGGAAUUAUACCCACUAAUCAAUCGUUGCUAAAAAGAAGGAGUAAUGAAAUUGACUCUUUCUUAUCAUUUGUUUAGACUAACUAAUUGAUGUGCUAGAUUAUCGUCACACUUGCUCUCAUUGUAAACUACAUUUUUAUGUGUCUAAAUGUCAAAAUGUAUUCACAUUUAGGAUUUUGAGAACAUGUUUGGUUGCACUUGCCCCUCGGGGAGGUAUUACGUUGUUUGGGGUGGUUUUGGUGCAUUUCAGGUAAUGUACGAUGCUUGGGUACAUCCAGGAACUAGGACGGUUGAUUUAAGUUGCUCGGAACGAAGUUAUGAUGAAACAGAAGGGGAACGCGGCAUAUUCCUUAAGGACACGGUCGUGUCCUUUCUUCUGGAACUCACGACCGAGAAGGAUUUUUCAGAGAACGGCCAUGUCCUUUUAGGAACACGACAUGUCCUUAUGGAACACGGCGUGUCUUUCUAGAACACGUUGUGUCCUUCCUCCAAGUGGGUUUUCUUAAUAAUUUUCCUUCUCCUAUUGGGAAGAGACGAUAUACAUACCCGAGCAGCCCUUUUGACAAGGGAUACAUUAUUCCAGACAUAUUUUAGAGCUUUUAGAGAGAGAGAGAGAAUGCCAGAGAUCGAUUGAAGCAAGGGUUCAUCAACGAUUGGAGACGGAACAAAAAUCGGCGACAAGAAAGACAUUUCUCAACGAGAGAUGUUUUCUUCUCAGGCUAUUUUCCUUUCUUCUUCCUUUGUUGUUUUCCGAACCAUGAGUAGCUAAACUCUUCGUGUUCUUUUGGAUUAGAUGAAGCUUUAGCUUAGCUUUUGUAUGGAUGAUGGGGUUUUAACCCUUUGAUUUGUUGUCGAGGUUAUUCAGACUUAUGAUCUGUUCUUUCUAAACCUAAUUUCAUAUUAGAUUUCAAUUGAUCUCCUCUAUUGAAUCGUCAUCGUUGAUUUAUGGGUCCGGGAGGAACAUAGAUCAAUAAGUUGCUUAGGAAGAAAUCUAGAUUCUUCGUUAGCUCGAGAGAGGAACAGAUCGUCUAGACUUUUUGCAUCAUUUAUCAUUGUGGCAUUUCAUCGAACUCCUUUAGUGCGUUCUGCUUGUGUGUAGAUUAGCUCGAGAGAGGAGUCUAUGGUCGACCAGAAUAGAUCCUUAGAUCGUGAGAACGAUCUAAGAUUAUCGCAGGAAAUCAUGAAGCCCUUAUUGUGACACCCCAAUUUUGGGUUGAUGUUUGAUUCUAGGAUAAAUUAGUUUUCUGUGAGUCACUGUGAAUCGGCUGUCGGAUGGUCCAUCACGGGCAGGAGCUGCUAGAGAAGGAUUUCAUCUGCCCGAGUGUGUCACCUUGGGGUGCGCCGGUACUUUUUAUGAAGAAGAAGGAUGGGUCUAUGCAGAUAUGCAUAGAAUACAGGAGACUGAAUCAGGUGACAGUGAAGAAAAGGUAUCCUCUUCCGCGCAUUGAUGACAUGUUUGAUCAACUUCAGGGAGCAUUAGUGUUCUCUAAGAUCAAGUUGAGGUCGGGGUACCAUGGAGGACCUCAUAUAUCUCUUUCUUUGUUUUCAUAAUUUUCAUAGACUUUUCAUGUUUUCAGUUGAUUGUCAGACCUUGUUACAGUUAUUGUUUUCCCCUGUUUGAGAUGUUUUUCAAUAUGGUCAUAUUGUUUAUUUCGAGCUCUUGUUGCUCUAUUUAUUUCUGCUGUCGUUUUAUUUAAAUAUUGAGGAUAUUUCAGUACAUGUGAAGUAUGCCAGUUUUCAUGAUUUAUGUGAUGAGUGAACCCUUGACCAAUGCAUAGAUCGAACCAUGUGGUUUGAUCGCGUCGUCUAGGGGCGGGUUUUACAAUUAUAACCUGAAUAAUUGAGAUUUCAUAUCGUUCAUCCAUGCAUUGCUAGCUUUAGUGGAUUCGAGUCCGAACAACCUUCAUUCCCAUAUUUGAAACUAAAUCUUCUUCCAUUUGCUUUCUUUUGAUUUGAAUUCUUGGUUAUUAAUUGAUUACUUAAACACUCAAACAAACAAAUUAAACCUUCAUUGUUACUUGGUCUAGUUUGCAUAAUUGAAUUGAGUAAUAUCGUUAUAAAGACCCUAGGGAAAAUAUGAUUCCAUUAGUUUGUUCUAGUGGAUAUUUGAAAAGCGUGGUAAAAUUCACUCGUCAAUAAUCUAUCAAAUUUGAACUUUUAACCAACCUAUUAGUAUAUAAUAAUAAAUUAAGUUCAAACACCAAAUUUAGUAAAAAAAUAUCACGAGUGGUACAUUCAAUUUUGUUUUAACUAAAAAUGGUACAAAGAAUAUUUUUUUAUCUCAAUGUAUGUUUCAAUCCUAUUUUCGCCACUGUUCGUUAUUGAUGAAUUCGGGUUCAGAAGGGACUUUUCAAAGGGGAGAGAAACCCAUGAAUGAUGAAUACAACUAGUGUCCCACUAUUUGCAACUAAUUGAUGUCCUCUCUUAUGUAUUGAGUCAACUUAAAGCUCCAGUUCAUUUAAGAACUUUGGAGAAUAUAAGAAUUAGAUUCAUUGAUUUGUAAAGUAUACAGACGUUUUAUUUAUAUACAAGAUCUAUUUACUCACUAAUCACUAAAAACUAAGAAGAAUGAGAAGAAGAAGAAAAACGGGAAGAGAAAUACAACGGUAAGAUAACUUAAGAAGACGGUCAACUGAGCUCCAUGAACUUCAUUUAACACCGUCCCUCAAGCUGUAGGAUAGAUGUUAAUCAUACUCAGCUUGUACAUCAGGAACCUUAAUCUCAGAGCUGGUAAUCCCUUAGUAAACAUAUCAACAAGUUGUAAUUCAGUACAGACAUAGCUGAGUUUGAGCAUUCCUGAUUGAAGACGUUCUCUUACCACAUGGAAAUCAAUUUCUAUAUGUUUUGUCUGUACAUGGAAGAUAGGUUUCUAUGCUAUAUGAAUAGCUGACUAAUUAUUGCAGAAAAGCUCAACUAGCUGCUCGUGUUUGAUUCCCAUUUCUUCCAACAAUCCUCUCAUCCACUGGACUUCACAACUGAUAUGUGCCAGUGCUCUAUAUUCCGCUUCAAAGAAUGAUCAAGAUACAGUUCCUUGUUUCUUUGUUUUCCAGGAAACUAGAGAAUUUCCAAGGAACAAGCAAUAUCCAGAAGUGGAUCUUCUUGUAUCUGGGCAGCUUGCCCAAUUUAAAUCACAGUAACCCGUCAUUGUUAUGUUGCAAUCUCUACUGAAAAACAAACCAUGUCCAUGGGCAUUUUUCAAGUAACGUACCACCUAAUAUCAUGCUUUCAGAUGAAGAUCAGUAGGAUUAGCUUGAUAUUGAGCCAAUUGCUGAACUACAUAACUGAUAUCUGGUCUAGUGAUUGUUAGGUAGUGUAGUCUGCCUAUAAGUUGUUUGUACUCAGUGAUAUCAGUUAAUGCAACUCCUUGAUCUAUCUUCAAUUUCAGCUUGUAAUCAAAAGGAGUCUUUAAUGGUUUUUUAUGCAGUAAUCCCAGAUCUUCAAUCAUCUCCAAACAAUACUUCUUUUGACACAUAGCAAUUCCAGUUUGAUUUUGUGCUAUCUCCAAACUAAGGAAAUAAUUCAAUUUUCCCAAAUCCAUUACUUUGAAGUGCUUCUGAAGUCUUCCCUUCAUAUCAUCUAUCAGAAUGGAAUCAUUUUCAGCAAGGAUAAUGUCAUCGACAUAUACUAAUAGAAUCAACUCUGAACCUUGUUUACGAUAUAUGAACAUUGAAUGAUCAGAGUGAGAUUGUGUGAAUCCUUCUUCAAUCAAGGCACUGGCAAACUUCAUAUACCACAUUCUACUAGCUUGCUUCAGGCCAUAUAAGGACUUUUGUAGCUUGCAAACCUUCUGUCCCCUCCCUGAACGUCAAAACCUUUUAGAAGUUUCAUAUAAACUUCUUCAUCCAAAUCUUCAUUAAGGAACGCAUUACUCGCAUUCAUUUGAUGUAGAUGCCAUCCCUUGGCAGCUGCAACUGCCAAGAGGUUUUUGACAGUACUAAUCUUUGCCACAGGAGAAAAUGUAUCUGUAAAAUCUAUUCCAUAAACCUGUGUGAAACCUUGGCAACAAGCCUUACCUUGUACCUUCUCUACACUUUCAUCUGGCUUAUAUUUAACUCUGAAGACCCACUUGCAGCUAUGGCCCUUUUCCCCGAUGGUAACUCACUAGUGGCCUAUGUCUUAUUGUCCUCUAGAGCUUGAAGUUCUUCCUGCAUAGCCUUCCUCCAACACUAAGAUAGCACAGCUUCUUUGAAGGUUUUAGGCUCAGAUUCGACAGAGAUAGAAAGGGCAAACAAACAUUGAGAGUGAGAAACUGUAUUAUAAGAUAAGUAUUUGUGCAGCGGAUAGAAAGAGACAGAUUCUGGAACUUUAUUGGUGGUUAAUAGAGAACAAUGAUAUUGUUUAAGAUAACGAGAUGAGGUGUGGUUUUUUCAGUGAAGAGUCUGGUUUAAGGUGAGUUAUGUAUGAGAGAUUCUGGAGGUGUGUUGUUUUCAGGUGUUCUAUUCUGUAAACUAUCUAAAUGAUCUGACAGAGGGGCUAAAGAUUCAAGAGUGAUGGGAAUGUGAUUAUGAGAUGUGAUGGGACGAGAAUUAGUCUCUAAAUCAGUUUCUCUAUAAGGAAGGAUGGACUCAUGGAAGAUAACAUUUCUGGAAAAGGUAAGUUUUUGGGAUGAAAUAUCGAGGAGCUUGUAUCCUUUGAUACCUAACUGGAAACCUAUGAAAAUGCAAGGAGUUUAUCUAGAUGAGAAUUUGGUUCUGGCAUGAUGAUGUGUACUGGCAUAUGAUAGGCAACUGAAGACUUUUAGAUGCUCAUAGGUAGGAGGUUUUUUGUGUAGUAUUUCAUAAGGAGAAAUGUUAUUAAGGAUGGGAGCAGGAAGGCGGUUUAUUAGGUAGCAUGCAUGAAGGAUACAUUCCCCCCCAGAAUCUUAGAGGCAAACCUGAUUGAAAACAUAAUCAACGUGCAACAGCAAGAAGAUGUUGGUGUUUUCUUUCCACACGAUCGUUUUGAGGAGGAGUAUAGGCACAUCUAGUUUGGUGUAUGAUACCAGGCUUAGCAAAGAAAUCAGUCAUGUUGAAUUCAAGACCUUGAUCUAAUCUAAUGGUUUAAACAUUGAGAGAGAAUUGAGUUUGAACCAUGAAAAAAAGGAUUUGAUUAAUUCCCGUAUUUUUCUCCUUUAUUUUUCAUAAGAAAGACCCAUACACAAUGAGUAUGAUCAUCAAGAAUAGUAAGAAAGUAGGUAAAACCAUCAUGAGUUGGAGAACUCAGGGGACCCCAAAUAUCCCUAUGAACUAAUUCAAAAGAUAUAGAAGCUCUAGAACUACUACGUUGGAAUGGUAAAGCCUUUUGUUUUGCAAGGUGACAUGUGAUGCAGUGUGUAGAAGAAGGAAGAGAAAUGUUUGGAUGUGUUUGGUGGACAAGUUGGAGAUGUCCUAAGGAAGGGUGACCUAAUCUGCAAUGCCAAACCUCAAUGGAGUGAGGAUUUAGGUUUAGAUGAGAUGCUACUAUAUGAACAGAAGAUGGAGAUGAGACUUUAAUGGAAGAUGUGGUGGGAAAGAGAUAUAGAACUUUAUGGAGUUAGGCUAAACCAAUCGUCAUAUGAGAUUAUUGGUCCUUAAUAUGGCACUAAGUAGAGGUAAACAAGGCAAUGACAGGAGAAUUUUUAGUGAGAGUGCUGACUGAGAGAAGGUUAAAAGAAAAAUUGAGAAUAUGGAGGACAUUAUGUAGAACUAAACCACAAGGAAGGGUAACUAUACCAGACUGAUUAGCUAGGGUAUGGGAUCCAUCAAUAAGAGUAACAUAAAUAGGUUGAGUUUCUAACAGAAACAAGGCAGCAGAACAACAAAUGUGACUACUAGCUCUAGUGUCUACAAUCCAAAAGGAUGAAAGAGUAUGAUAGUGAGGAAUACCUGAGGAAGUGCCGCAGGCAGGAAGAGAAGUGGUGAUGAGGUUGGCAACAGUUUCUGAGGUAGAAGGAGUGUAAGAAGCUAGUUGUUGGAGGAGAACCUUAAGACGCGCAAACUUAAUAGAGGACAAUGACAUGUUCAACAUAUCUGAGUGACCUUCUGAGAUAGAGCGAUAUUUUGGAGUUACAUAUGCAGAGUUACGAAAAGAUGAACCAAUAUUGUUGUUGUUCUAUAAACCAUUAAGAGUUGAACCAGCAAAGUUAGUGGUGUCAGAUCCUGUAGCCAUUCCUCCUUCUUUGGCCCUUUUAUUCUUCAACUUACGGCAAUCCUUGAUGUUGUGAUUCUCUUUCUUACAGUAAUGGCAGAACAAACCCUGAUUAUCUGAUCCUUUACCUCUUUGAAAACUAGGACUUAAUCCAAGAGCAAUCGAGUCUACAGAUCUGAGAGCAGAACCUCUCAUCUGCCUCUCGAGUUGAACCGCAAACUUGAAAGCGGUGUUAAUAUCAGGUAAUGGAUCCAUCAUCAAAACUUGAGAUCUCACAACAUCAAAGGUGCUAUUUAAUCCACGGAUGAACCUAGUCACAUAGUCAUGUUCUUGAUACACUAGCAUUUAAGUAACAACCUUACAACUAGAGAUGCUAGCAGGAUUACAAUCACAGGCAGGAAUAGGUCUGAAUUGAAUAUAUUCUUCCCAGAGAACUUUCAAGUUCGUGAAAUACAGAGUGACAGUGAUCUCACCUUGAUCACGGGAUGAAAUUCGAGAUUGAAGAUCAGUUAUGCGAAUAGCAUCUCCUUGACUAAAUCGUUGUUGCAGGUCUUUCCAAGCUGUCGAAGCGUUAUCAUACGUAAUCAAACUCUGAGCAAUGUGAUCUGAAACAGAGUUUAGAUUCCAGUUGAGGACUACAAAGUUGCAUCGCAUCCAAGAGGAGUACGUCACAUUGGUGAUCUAUGGAGGAGAUGAAGAUCCGUCGAUAAACUGAACCUUGUUCUUGAUGCUCAAGGCCAUAGUCAUCGAGCGACUCUAGAGAUGAUAGUUUUCAUUGGUGAGCUUCACGCAGACGAUCGAAAUUGAGAGAUUGUCGCCAGUUGAAAUGUAAAGCGGAUUUGAGAGAUGAUCGGUGAAAGAGGAAGCGGUGGUGGAGAUGAGUGCAGAGAUAGUAGAGGAGGAUGAGUUUGAUUCAGUUAUGGUGAUUAACGAUGGAUUGAAAGGAUUUCAGAUCUGGGAAGUAUGAACAAACAAAACUCCGAUACCAUAAUAAUUUUGGAGAAUAUCAAAAUUAGAUUCAUUGAUUUGUAAGGUAUACAGAGGUUUUGUUUAUAUACAAAAUCAAUUUACUCAUUAAUCAUUAAAAACUAAGAAGAAGGAGAAGAAGAAGAAAAGCGGGAAGAGAAAUACAACGAUAAGAUAACUUAAAAAGACGGUCAACUCUUCUAACGGUCUAGUUGACUCUGUUAGUUCCGUCAGCUCCGUUAACUUCAUUUAACAUCAUUCCUUCGUCAUAACUCAUCAUACUCAUAGUACUUUGAUUUUAUUCACUCAACUUCCCCCCUUUCCAUAAUGUUAUCAUUCCCUCUUGCCUUACGAGCUACGUCCUGACAUACAUCCAUAUCCAUCAUUUAAUAUGGAGAACCGUGGAACCGGAUUGGUCGCCGUCAUCAUCUCCCUGUCCCUCUGUCUCCUUCGUUUGCUGCAUCAUCGCCGAAACCAAGAAAGUCAAGGUACAGCGCACAAUGAUGUUGAAUGACUCCAAACUUGGUAUCUAACCAACAUGAUUAUUCUGUCUUCCUUGGCAGAAGGAGGACGUGAAACUGCACAACGAGCUGUGUGGUAUGCCGCAGAGCCACGCAUUCAGGUUGGGAGUAGCGGCGUUAGUAUGCCUGGUAAUCGCACAGACGGUGAGCACCUUGGCAGUCUGCAGCAACCUAUCAUCAUCCUCCACCGCUAAGAACAAAAGGGAACCGACGAUGAUCUUGUCCCUUCUCCUCUUGCUUCUAUCCUGGUACGCAAUCUCUUACUCUGUUUCUCUUCUCAGGUUUUUGUCUCCAAGUAGCUGCAACGUCAUCAACCAUCCAUUCCUACAUAUGGUGCUUGCUUGAUCCUAAAUUCUCUCUUUCGAGGGUGGGUAUCACGUACUAUAUACAGGGUGAGUUUUGGGGUGGCGGUGGUGCUGUUGGUCGGAGCAACAAGCAUGAGCACAAGGCAGGCGUAUGGAGGAGAAGGAUGGGUGGACGAAAAGUGCUACGUUGUGAAAGAAGGUAUCUACGCUAGCUCAGGGGUUUUGACGUUGGUUUCCUCCGCCACCGCCAUUGCCUCCACCUUCAGAAAAGAUGAGUAUGACAACAAGGUGGUCGUAGUAGAUUACAUGAACAAGCUGCUGUUACUCCCUCUUGACAUUUUUAUUUUAUUUUGUUUCUAAAUCUUUAUACAGAAACAUAAAUAUAGAGACUAACAGACCAGAACAGAACAGAGGCCACUUGGAAGUUUCGACAAGAGACGAGACUCUAUCUAGGUGGCGGCGACAAAGACUUCGACUGCGGCAACCCAUACAUACCUACCAUAGUUUGAUUCUUCCACAUUUAAACAUCUCUUUUUGAUACAAAUCGGUGUACAGUCCCAAGUUCCUUGCACCUGAUCUCGAACCCUAACAUGCAAUGUUUCUUCCACCACAUACGGUUUCAAACUUUUGGUCAAACCCACUAUCUGGUCUAUAUAUUCUUUCAAUGUACUUCAACCUAGCUAACAACUUUGACCGAAACCCAUCUUUGAACGUUCUUUUACAAAGCAAAAGCCCAUCUCAUUCAUUAAACGAUACUACGAUUAAGUGCAGGUCACCGGAGGUACGGACCCCACAUGCGGGCUACAUGGAUCACAGGCCUUAGAGCAUAAGCUGACUGCUCGGGUCCUUUUUCUCCUAAUCAAUAGACGUAACCGACUCAGACAAAACAUUACGAGACAAGUUAGAAACUCGAACAACCUUGGGAUACAUGUCCCAUGUCAUAUCCAGUAAGCAACCAAACAUAAAACUUUCACAGCUUAUGAAUGCCCAAUAAAUUCCGUCCAGAGUCCAUCAAUUCAAAGUCCAGAGCCAAACUCAUAAGACCAAACAAAUAAAGACGGCACAUGAACCCUAGCCUCUAGUUAGGCUUCGGCAGAGUCUGAGGACUCCAAAGGGUUGACGCAAGAGAAGUAGAACUAGUAGAUGAUGAACUUCAGAGUGCGUAUCUGGUUAAAGAAGUGGCGCACUCGGCAGGCAUUCAGAAAUGCAUGUUCCCUUGCCCUCUGCCACCAUAGCCAUACCCCCUUCCCCAGUUUUGUGAACCACUAUAGUUAUUAUAGCCACGUCCAGGGCCAUUGUAGCGACCGUAUCCCAUGUUAGGUCUCUGAUCAAAGCUGCCGAAUGUCUGAUAUCAUGAAGCAGUAGCAAAUAAUCAAUACAGUAGCAAUUAUCCUACAGUAUAGUGAUAUGGAAUGUCAAAGAAUAGCAUGCAUGCAAACCUCAGUAUCGUGCCUCAUUCGAUCAGAAAACCUAAACUGCCCAUUCCUUCCCCGGCCGCGUGAAUGACAAGAAAUUGUGUCAAAGAAGUCGUCUUUCUUGUAUGCAGGCUGUAGCCAAAAAACCAGCAAUUAUAUGAAGCAAUGAGAUAAUCACGACUCUCGAGAAACAAAAUAAGAAUCUAGCACCAAGGAUGAAGGAGGACUUUAAAAUGCCACCUGAGGAUCAAAAUUGUUUGGCAAGUGAAGAGCUACAUUUUGUUGCAAUGCAUUGCCCUCGAGAAUGUCGACUUCAUUAUUUGGCUUUGCCUUUCCCAUAUGACCCCACACUUCAUCCUUUUUGAACUUCUCAUUCAUUGCUUCAAAAUCAAAUUCUUCGGAGAACAUGGUCUGGAUUUCAUGCAAAUGAAAGAAUAGAAACAAAUUACUGAACCAAUCUGACAAGCAUCAGGUCCCAAAGUUAAGACGUCUGCCAACAUUCACGAAGAUAACAAAUGUUUCAUAACACUUAUAAAAAAAAUGUUUCAUAACACUAGCAUGUGAUAAAUGAACGCUCCAUUCUAGUGCAUCUCAAUUUCAGGGUUUCUACUAAUAACUUGCACACAUGGAUGCCAACAUACUGUUUGUAUGUAAGAGAGUAAAAUGAAAUACCCAGCCCAAUAGACGUAUAGUCGAGUAUCAAUGGAUCAAGAGAGUCAUAGGAUUCUUAUUAACAUUAUCCAAAGAUUAUUAGACGAAUGUUUGUGAGUACAGACACUAAUUCAAGUAAGGACUAGUUCUCAGCUCCACCAGCAAUAUAAUAGCAGUUGACCACAUGUACCAGUAAUAAGAAUGGAAAAUAAAAGAAUUAGAGGAAGUUAAAAAGAAAACCUUUACAUGCUUAAUGCCGGCCAAUUAAUUUAAUCUAAAUUGUUCUUGAUUGCCUUACUAUCCUCCUCUAUGUGUCCCCACUGGUAUUUGAAACCUAGUCUGCUAGAAUAUUUUUGUCAGUGUAUAUUAGCCCCAAUUGUCGAAACCCAGGCCGUAGUGGAUCUUUCACUCCCAUCCAUCAUCUACGCUUACCAUUCAGGUUUAACAGUGUGUGAAGAAACAAAUCUACCAGGCCCCAAGGUUACUAAUCACAGUGAAUCGCUAUAAAUUUGUAAAUUUCAGGACGAACUUAUUUUUUCAGUUUGACCCGUCGAUGUUUCGUAUACAAAAGAUUGGACUCAUCGAGGAGUUUUCAAGUAGGGGACUUAGAGUUAAGCUCAAACUUGCCUCGUCCAGGAUAGUAAUGAGUUAGACUCAAGGUGGCUCGAGCUCGACACGAGCUUAUAUUUUCCAGCUCACAAUUCGAGCUCGAGCUUGAAGCUUGUGCAAUUCGGGUCAGUUCAUGAACAGCCUAUGAAUGGUAUUGAGAGUUGUGUGCAAAUGAGUAGAAAAGGGAGAGAAAGAGGAAGAGAGAAAGAGAGGGCGGUCCCAGAGAUAAAUCUAUGACUAUGAGUUGGCGAAAUUCUAUAAAAAUCUGACUAUGAAUUGUCUCCCCCAAGACUACAUAAGACUAACGAGUAUAACUACCACAAACGAAGCAUUCAUUGUAUUCAUAACUCAAAUAUUAAGUGAAAAUUGUUACGGCAUGCUGGGAUCUGCACAAACAAUAUAAAAGUUCAGAGGGCAUAAAUUAACAAGUCAGAUACUAGAUUGCCACAGAUCCUUUGUGCUGUAUGCUGUAUCACAUUAGUCUCAGGACAAAAAGCACUCAAACCAUUUUAUAAUGACGAACAUAGAGAUACUAUAUUCCUUCGUGGUAACAAGUUACUUUUGAUUCCUCUCCUCUCUUUCACGUUUCAGUCGUAUAUUAUCUCCCUACACCAAUCAAACAUCUAGCUUUGCUACAUCCCAUGCCAUAAAACAGUAAUCAGACAAUAUUAAGAAAUGCGAAUAUUAAGAAAUACGACAAGGAGGAUCUUCAUAACAAAGAAAGCACGUGUACCUGUGUCGAGCUCGGCAAUGGCAAUAAUGGUGCUUGAGAAGCUGCAGUAGAAAUCAAGGACGAGGUUGCCGAUGACGGUGGGUUCAGCAUCAUGCUAUUCUGUGUAGAGUACAUACUUUGCAUAGGGAAAAGGGAAGACUGUGAAAACUGAUUCAAACUCGAAGGGUACGGAAGUUGUGAUAUCAAGGGAUUGGAAGAGGAAGCAGAAUAAGGCAUGGGCUGUAAAGGAGGCAUCCCUUCAGGGUUAGACUCAGCACUGCUAACAUUUUGAUUUGUACCAGUCUUUAGAUCUCCUCCACCAGAAAUUCCAUAUGCGGAAAAAGGUACUUGAGGUGCAAUUGUGAAUGCUGAGGGUGGAAUCAAAGGAGAUGAAGAACUUUCUGGUGGAAUAAGAGAAUGCGAGAAACUAGGAUUUGCGGCAUUUGAGACAUUUGAGGCAUUAGAUGGAGCUUCUGAUGUAUGCAAUAAUCCCAUUACUGGAGAAACACCCGGUCCAGGAGCUAGCACUUGAUUUGGGAAGGAAGAUGGAGCAAUAGAUGAAGGAUUGAAAGGGAUCAAUGGAUGAGCAGGAGCAGGCCUGCUGAGUGGAUUUCCACUAUAUCCUUGCCAAUACAUCUGUGACGAUAAAGGUUGACUAACAGUCUGCGUUGCUUGAGAAAGAUUUGAUGGGUAAAUCUCAGGAGGAUGUGAAGGCAAUGGAGCAGAAUAGACUCCAAUUGUUGGUGCAGGUGCAUUCGGUACUUGACUUGAUUCCAUGCUAGUCUUCCGAGCAAUUGGAGCUGAUGAUGAACUUGAAGGGGCACUAACAUACUGUGACUGAAAAUAACCAGGUCCAACAAACCAUCAAUACUCUCACAAACUAACAGAAACGCUAAAAGCUCGUAACUUACAUUUUCCACAAGACAAUACCUGGAUAAUGGCAGGGUCUUCAUAUAUUUGCUCGGAAGUUGGAGCAGGAGGUGGGGACUUCACUUGUAAAUCCUGCAAGAAGGGAGAAAAAUCAAUCAGUGCAGGAUCUAUAACAAGAUAUUAGCAUUUUCGAGGAAGAUCAGACACCAUUGCUUGAUCUAGGUAAUUCAGAAGCUAGGCUUGGUAAGGUAUCCACUUGGUGCAAACAUUAGAUGUUGCUUACCAGAUAAAAAGGAUCUUUACCUUAAUAUCACUCCCACGAAAUAGAAUGAAAUCAUACACCUUCUCACUCGCAGGAACUUGUGGGCCAUCUUUCUUUCGACCCUCCGUUCCAUAUGACCUGACUGAAACAUUAAUUCAGAAGGAUGUACAUCAUUCAGAAGCCAAAGUCUCGCCUUAUUACAUCAAGUGAUCCUCAUCAUGGAUAAACAGAGAAUUGGCAGAGAAACCAGAUAUCAUGAUCAAACAGCUGGAAGACAACAAAAGCUAAAUGAAGAAACAAAGAAAGCAAAAUUCCAUAUGCAUGCGGUGGAGGGUAGUAAAAUCUUUCAAUCCACAGUUAUGAGGCAGUUAAGAUUGCAACCAAUUCACCAUCACUUGUUGUCCUAUAAGUUCUCUGGUGAUGAACCAGUUAAUAUUGCAACCGAUUCACCAUAGACAAUUACUAAUUCAAACUGUAAAUAUGUAAGCAAUGGAAAAUCAAUUGCAGAGGAGAAAACGAUGAUGAAACAGAACCAGAACACAACGUAAUAGCGAAGAAAAGCGAGCAGAAGAAGGAAAGAGGGAAAUAAAAAGAAGCUAAGGCUAACCAUCUUUUAGGGCAAGCGUGGAAUCCUGAACGUCUAGGCGAUAGAGGACACCUUCAUAGCGAAUUUCAAACUUGGAAAUGAGACUAAUGUGGCUUCCUAGGUAAGAAUCGAUCACAUUUGACGAUCCUGGUGCGGAUGAAGAAGAAGGAGCGGAAACAGGAGGGGUAUCGGAAGAAGAUGGCUGCAACGCCGGCGAUGAUGACGGCGGCGAGGAAGCCAUGUAUGGAAUCCAACACCGGAGGAAUAGCGUAACAAGGAGAGGAUGGAGGAGAAUCCGGAGGAAUCCCACAAGGCGUAGGAACCGAAGAAAUGGGAGAUGAAAAACUAGGAGGUAACCGUUGAUGAGUUGUGUUUCUGCGAUUAGGGUUCCAUUUCUCUAUCCCAUUUUGGAAUUUGGCGGGGCUACGGUGGGAUAGGUUGGUCGCUUUUCCUGCUUUUCCUGUUUUUUGUAUUUUCUUUUCAUUCUUUUAUCAUAAUUUAAACCAGAUUUUUAUGAAAAGGGCGGUUUGAUUCUAAAUAUGCUAAAAAGAUAAUACAAAACGUAAAUAAUAUGGGAUGGCCGGGUUAUUAUAGGGUUCUCAACGUUGAUUGGGGAGCGUCGUACGUUGUUGUAGUUGUUGCCUUAAUGAUUGUAAUGAAUUGUUGAGUCUACUACAAACUAGCAUGGUAUUAAGCAAAACACAUGUUGUAUGGAUUUUCCUAACGAGCCAUAUAGUGGAGCUAGUAUUUUGAUCAAGUUUCGAGCUAUUUCUCCACAAGUCUAUCGAGUUGAGCAUAACUUGACUUAAAUGUAGCUCAUUUAAAGUAGAGCUGAGUCCCGAAAAAGGUUUUUUCGAGCCGAACAAGGAGUAGCUUGGCUUGUGAGCAGCCCUAGCGAUUCACAAUGGUCGGUUAGCCUUGGUGCCUGGUGUAUUUGUAUCUUCCCACACUGUUAAACCCGAAAGGUAGCGUGGAUGAUCUACGGACCGAAAUGACGGAUGAUUUUCUCGCUACUGCUUUGUUGAUUUUUGUUGAGAGGGAUUAUGCUAUAAAGUGGGAUAUAGAGGCUACGAUUGACCAGUUUUCUAAAUUAAAAAAUCGUCUGCGAAGUUGUAGAUCUCGAAAUAAAGUGUUCGGGUUGUAAUAUAUUAUAACUAAGAAUUUCUUAUAUAGACUUUUUUUAUAAUUAAUAAAUCCGACUUGGUUCCGCCAUUGCGAAGAACCUCAGCCGAUUUAAUCAUUAAAAGUUUGGACGGAUGAAACCGGACGGGCGUGUGUUUUCGUCAAGCGAGGUAAGCUAGACUGAGGGAUUUUCCGUUUGGCCUGCUUUAAAAAGAAGAGUUAAAAUUGGAGAAUAUGUUUGCUUUGGGAAAUUUAUGUGUCGGUUACACUUUAUUGAGCAUAAUGAAGAACCCAAUUCAAUCACGAUUAGGGGCGAGCAAAAGUAGGUAACAAUUGGGAGAGAAGUUGAGUAAGUAGAGUUUUACUUUCCCCAACGUACGGGUUAAGCAUGGUGAAGUAUGAGCAAAGAGUGCAAAGUGGUUGUAGAAAGGUUUUUUUUUUAACCCGCCCGCUAAUUAUCACAAACAAAAUACACCUUUUUAGGUUUUCGUCACGCCACCGAAAUUACAUUAUUUUGAUAUUUUCACUAGAAAAGAAAACGGGGGCAAGAAACAAAAUACUCGUGCGCUGCCCUGCGCUGCGCUCAGUCUCACCGUCCUCCUCUUAUCUAAUCUUUUUUUAUUUAUAUUAAAAACCCAUCGACAAACUCAGAAACUUCCUCUUCCCAGGCCCUCUGCUCCCAAUGGCCGAUUCCAUUUCUCCCGUUUCCACCAAACGGCGGCAGGGAAAUUACCACCUACAGGCUGAGCAGCAGCAGCAGCAGCAGCAGCCUCCUCUAAUUUCCCGCCUCCCCGGCCACCCCCCCCAACUCUGCCUNCCUCCGACUGCAACUCCAUCCACUUCUCCUCCUUCGAUCCAUUCUCUUCCAGCUGGGAUCCACUCCCUCCUCCGCCGCCGCUCCACCCUCCCCUCCGCCUCCUUCUUCGCCAUCCAUCCUUCAUCUCCCGACACCUCCCCAUCCAGUCCCUCUCUGUAUCCGGUCGCCUCCUCCUCCUCGCCGCCACCACCGACAACCUCUUCCCCGCCCUCUCCCGUCCUUUGGUCUUCGAUCCCAACUCCCGCUCAUGGUCCUCCGGCCCUCAGCUCUCUGCUCCUCGCAGAUGGUGCGCUGCCGGGACCUCCAACGGCGCUGUCUACGUCGCCAGUGGAAUCGGAACUCAAUUCUCCCCCGACGUCGCCAAGUCUGUGGAGAAGUGGAAUUUAAUUGAAUCGAAUAAUAGUCAACAUUUGGGGGAAAUCAAAAUUACUUCUCCCCCGAAUUGGAAGUGGGAAAAGGUGAAGGGGAUGAAGGACGGGAGGUUCUGCAGAGAAGCGAUCGACGCUGUUGGGUGGAAAGGGAAGCUGUGUAUGGUGAACGUGAAGGGAAAUUCGGCGGCGAAAGAAGGCGCGGUUUACGACGUCCGUCGGAACUCGUGGGAGGAGAUGCCGCCCGGGAUGAUCGGAGGAUGGAAGGGUCCGGUGGCGGCGAUGGAAGAGGAAGUAAUGUACGUGGUGGACGAAGCGGAAGGGGCGGUGAGAAGAUACGUGCCGGAGAACGACGGUUGGGAAGAGGUGGUGGCGUCUCCGUUGAUGAGAGGUGCUCAGCAGGUUGCCGCCGGUGGAGGUAGGGUGUGCGUCGUUUGCGGCGGUGGGAUUGUGGUAGUUGAUGUGAUGACGGAGCCGGCGAGGAUUUGGGUGGUUGACUUGCCCAAUGGGUUUGAUUCUGCCGUCGCUGUUCAUGUACUGCCAAGGAUGAGCCGGCCGGAAAUAGCUUUCCCUUCAGCUUCAUGUGCCUUCAUGUCUACGGAUUAAAUUUUGAUUUUUGAUUCAUUUUUUGUUUUGUUUUUUACUUGAGAUUUUUGUUAUGUAUUACGCGCACACACACACAAUUUCAAAUUCCUAACACACGGUGAAAAUGAAAUUACUUCUAUAUUUUGUUUGGUUGAUGAUGUUUUCACAGCGGUGUUGGCUUAGAUAAUAACUAAUAAUGCUAUUGGUUAAUCCGACAAUGAGACAAUUGAAUAAUUAGUUAGUUAAGUUGAGGAUUUACUGUGUCAAAAUUUAAUAGGCUACUUGACUGGUGUGUUGAGGUUGACUGAUUUUUGGUUGGUUUGAAUUGUAGAUUGUCUUAGCUCGGUCAAUUGUAUAUAAGUCUAUUUUUUUCGAAAGGUAUGAAUAUUCAAAUUGUCAUUCUUCUAAAAUGUUCAAAAGACGAGCGUAUAUAGUACCUACCGGAGGUACAGACUCCACAAACGGAGUUGUAUGGGUCGCAGGUCUUCGCUAAUGCAUCAAUCUCGGUCCUUGCUCACCGGCUAACAGACAACGGCUAAAAACAAGGCUAUAAAACAAUCUAAAACUUGUAAACGUGUCCGAAUAAAAAAGAAACCUGGCUAUGGACUAUUGAAAGAAUAUUAAUGAAAAUUCUAAUUAAAUUUGUAAAAAACGAAAUCAUUUAAUGAGGUUACUAAUGUAAGCUGUGUCAAUUUCAGUUAGAAUUUACAAAAUUAUUGAACUUCAGAUUUUUGUCAGGUUUUACAAAUUUGAUUCACUUCAAACGAAAUUCGGAGAAUAUAAUUAGAUAAAAUUAAGCUCAUAAAUCCAACGAAACUGGAGAAGUUGUUUUGUAAUCAAAGAAAAUAUAUCCGACGAAAUUAAUUAAACAUCAUAAAUUAAUCUCUAAAUCCAGUCAAUUCCGUCAUAAAUCUAACCAAACAUGGGUUUGUUAGUAGAAGGAAAAGAUAUUUGGUUGGGAUUAAUAAAUGGUAGGGAAUGAAAGUGAAAAUUUGUCGUAUGGAGCUGGUAGGGUGGCUGAAUACACAUGCCAUCGCUUUUUGGCUGAUGAAUGUCACUCUGGACACUAGAAUACAACAUGGCUCUGACUGCCCCCCUUUCUGUAUUUAUUAUUAUCACUAGUUUUUAUUAUUAUCUUACUCAUAUAAACUGGAUUAGUUCGGCAGUGUCAACUGAACCGGCCUGCCAUUAUAUCACGGCUGACGUCAACUUUUUGGUUUACCAGUCGUCUCCGAUUUUACCAAAGUAGUGACCUUCAUCUCCAUAAUUUGUUACCGUACUCGAUUUCUUCCUCCCCGCCCCAUUCCUCGUCUCUUCACCCACGCUGUUACUCGACUGAUGCGUGGUGCACAAUCUCCAAGUUAUGGGAGUAUUGGAAAUGUGGUUCGAGAUGUAGUGGGGUUUUUUGUUUCAUGCGUCUGGAUAAAUUUUAAUUUCUCAACAAUUACUUAAGUUUUCACUAUCGAGCUGUUAGUGAUUUGUCGGGCGUUGUUUUUUGCUAUCGCUGUUCAAGGAGGUCCCGUUGUACUUUACUCGGAUUCUGUUGAAGAUGUUCGCCUUCUACAUUCCUUUACUCUGGAUGUUCGCCUUGGCACAUUACUUUCAAAAUGUUGGGGUCUUCUCCGAUCAAUGUCUCUUGUUUCUGUUAUUCACAUUCGCCUUCAGGAUAAUCUCAGAAAUCUGUCUUGAUUAUUUUCAUAUCUUUGAUGUGCGAAGUGAUGAUCCCAAAAUUAAUUAGUCAUGAUCCAAAUUCUUAUAAAUAUCCUAUUGGGAUUAUAGUAACAACCAUAUAUAGCCUAAGCUAGUGAGGGCCGGCGGAUACAAUUGAUUAUAGUUAUAGUUUCGGCUUAAAAUCAUAGAUAGGCAUGAAUUGUAACGUAAUUAUACGUUUAUGUAUGAAUUUUUUUGAAUUUCGGAAAUGGUAUGAACUAUCCAAAUUUUUUAAGUAUGUGGUGCACAGUUCGUUUUGUCCAUUAGUUUGUUAAGUGACGUGACAGCGUUAAUGAUUAUGUGAACGAAGCUGCCGUGGAACUUGUUCGACUAGUCAAAACUGGCGGUUGCACCCCCUCAACCAUUUGUUCUUCGCACCUUGGCCAGUAAAAUCCUCCAGUACAGCUAUUUUCGAUCCAAUAAUGCAUGUAUCCACUAGAAGAAGACGCAUAAAUAGUAUCUCAACAACCUUCAAUAACAAGAAGCUGGAGCGCCAGAGGUUUUUAUUUUUGUUAUUGAAACAAAUUAGUUUUAUUGUUAUUAAAAUUUAUUACAAAGUUGACAUGUCAUAUUUGACUAGUCAAACAAGUAGCCAAAUCAGCUUUCGUUCGGACAAUCAUUAAAAACGUCAUGCCACCUAUACAAAUUAAUGAAAAAAACUAACAACGUGCCACAGGUUUUAAAAGUUUGGAUAGUUUGUGUCAUUUCUAAAAUUCAAAAAAAUCAUAUAUAAAUAUAUAAUUACGCUAUAAUUCGUAUACUUUGAGAUUUUUAGCCAUACAUAUGUAUUAAUUUGCCGGACUGCAUUUAUUACACUCCAUUCCCAAUUAAUAUUCCAGCUUCACCACCUAAUCAACCCUCCCCCUAUGUAUGCUCACUUUACGUAUCCAGCUUUUCAAGUUUAAGGUUUUCGACAUCGACGCCGGGCGAGGCGACCACCCUUCAUCCGCCCCAUACUUUAAACGGAUUUGGUACUAAAAAUUACUUCAAUGAUAUAUGCCUAUCGAUUAUUGUUCGUUCGGUAUGUGUGUAAGAUUGAUAUUGAAUUUAAAAGUAUGAAUAUUUUUGUCUGAGUAAGAUAUCGAGUGAUUAAUAAUUGUUUGGAAGAACAAGAUGUGGUGUGAAUCUUAAUUUGUAAUUGUAAUGAUAAAGGCGGAGAAAAAUUAUCAUUUAUGUCCCUUAGUUGUAUGUAAUUAUUAAAUUGCUUUGGGAUAAUUAUGUCAAUCGAAAAAUAUUAAGAUUGAUUGGGUGAUAUUGAAUAUCAUAUUAUCAAAUAGUUAAUUAUUUACGCUCUGAAACCAGAAAAUAUCUUGAAUUACUAGUUUUUUUAUAAUAUUGAAUAUCAAUAAUUUUGUAAAACACUAAUAUUGGUAGGCAUAUCAUUUAGUUAAGUAAUUUUUUAAAUGGAAUGUACCUCAUAGUUAAUUGAAAAAUAACUCAUACAAUGUAAAGAAAUGGAUUGCCUGUAGGGGGCUUAUCUAAGAAAGAAAAUGUUCGGCAAAUUAGGCUUCAUAAUAGUUUGGAUUGGUGAAGGUUAGUACAUGUACAUCCACUGUUUAAUCGUUUUAAGUUUGAUAGUUUGAUUUUAACAAUAUUACUGUAUUUGAUCGGGUUGUGGUUUUAAUCGUUGGGUACUAUUAAUCAAACAAAUCAAUCAAAUGGUCUUUUGGGUUGUUGUUGUAAGAGGAUUUCUUUAACUGAUUAGUAAAAUUGAUGAAUUUGAGGUUUUAAAACUGAUAUUUUGUAUUUUUUUGUGGAAAAAUAGAUGAUUAUUAAAUAGUUAAAUAUUAUCGUAUAUAAAAUGGUUUGAAUAGCACAAUAUACAUCACAGCACCAACACCAUAAAUGUUUCGGUGUGAUUAUCGUCAAAACCACACCCUAAACCAAACAAAACUGCUUUGACCGGCAUGGUUUCGCCUUUUCGGUCAGAUUCGCGGUUUUUCGAAUUUCAUUGGCAACAAACUGUCAUAACUAAUUGGACAAAUCCGACCGUUAAAAGUUAUUCUCACAUUUACAGGCUCACAUUUACAGUUCACAGUAGCCCAGGUGUCCCUCAAGGAGUGCCCAAUUUUCUUCCUGCUUUGAGCUUUCGCCCCUCUUAUGCUUUACCGCUUCGUCUGGAAAUCGGGGGAAAAUCUCGCAGAGCAAUGGAAAAUGAGGAAUUGAUAUUGGAAGAGCUUCUCAUCGUCGAAGCUGAAAUUCUAGACGUUCAAGGUUUUACAUGAUUAAUGAAUGAAUCACUAAAUUUUUCAUCACUCGUUUUGGCGGAGUUCUUUCAAACUCCCACUUCAUCACCUUCCCCGCUCGCUUGUUUUGCAGCCCAGAUAAAGGCGCUGUUUGACAAGCAAGAGAAGUUGGAGGAGAGGCAGUCCGACCUCAGAGCUUUGCUAGAAGCAUGUCAAGCUUCCGGAAGCCCUGCUCAUGGCGGCCAAGCGACGACUUCGGAAAAUUGGUCCGGUUCAUUUGAGUGGGAUUCCCAGGCUGAAGAUGUUAGGCUCAAUGUUUUUGGGAUAUCUUCAUACCGCGCGAAUCAGCGUGAGGUAGGUCUCCUUCACUGAACUCUGAGUUGGUCUCCUGUUUGCGCUUACCGUAUAAAUUAUGAAGGAGUUAUUGAUGCACUGUUUGAGUGAAAUUGGAGCAUAUUAUAUUGCCAAUUGCUAUCCGUUUACUAAUAAAACAAUGAUGUAUAGAUACUGAACGAAUUAUGGAACACUGCCUUUUUCUCCCCCUCGGCAAAGCAGCAAUGUGAUAAUCUCAUGAGUGUUUUGUCAAAUUUAUAUAACCUCAUGGGUGAAACCUUGUAUUUGUAAUGUUGAUUGCUACUAUCGAAGGCCUCAAUGUGCUUGAUCUAUUGGUUGUGUCAUAACAAGGCCAUGGGUUGGUUUCCUUUUUUAUCACUUCGUCAAAAGACGAGCUGUAGUUUGCUACAUCCUCCCAUUUGCUUACCAGAUGCGAGAUGUUACUGUUCCAGUGUCCUUCCCUACUGCCGUAUCAAGUGAAAAAAGCUAUCUUGUGGGUUGCUUAUAAGAAACUAGUUACUGUGGUUGAAAAUGGAUGCUCUUGUGAUCGUUCUCCAUUCGCCUAUCGAUGUGGAGUAACUUUUAGUUUCUGUAUUUUCACCUGACAAAAAAACUUAUAAUGUUUUGUAUCUUUUAUUAGAUUGUAAAUGCCGUGAUGAGUGGAAAAGAUGUUUUAGUGAUCAUGGCUGCUGGCGGCGGGAAAAGCCUUUGUUAUCAGCUUCAAGCUAUGCUUCGGAAUGGGGUUGCCCUUGUUGUCAGUCCUUUACUUUCUUUAAUUCAAGACCAGGUAUCCUUUCUAUCUUUUUUAAUUUUCUGUUAUCCCUUAAUUUGGCCCCAAAGUUUGAACCUAGGAUGACUUGGAUGUUUCAAUCCACUUUUGAUCACUAAGCUAAUUCCCUGGAGGUUUGAACCAUACGUGUUAUCUGUGAAUAUUUUCUAUCCAAGUUACCCAUUCUAACUGUCAUCGGUGAUGCAGGUGAUGGGACUGACUGCAUUAGGGAUUCCUGCAUUCAUGUUGACAUCAAGCACUAACAAGGAAGAAGAGAAGUUCAUAUAUAAAGCUCUAGAAAAGGGUGAAGGAGAGCUCAAGAUAUUGUAUGUUACUCCUGAAAACAUAUCGAAGAGUAAAAGAUUUAUGUCAAAGCUUGAAAAGUGUAAUCAUCAAGGUCGUCUCACUCUAGUUGCAAUUGAUGUAAGUCGUUUUCAGCGUUUUUUUGGCUAACAUGUACGUUACUUUUUCGGUAAGAUACUUUCAAUGUUUCCGUUUGACCUUUUGCCCACCAAAAUCGCUAAAUACAUAACCUGCUGGUUUGUCAGUUGCUGUCUUUUCUUCUAAGGGAAUAACAUUGCUCCAAGUUCUCUUCUGGGAAGCUGCUAAUUUACAUUCUUAGGGUCAAGAGAGGUUAUAAGUAUGACAGUGAUUCUGGAAAAGAUGUGCAAUAUCGGUAAUAUUAUCUUUAGGGACACUCUCAGUCCAACAGUUAUGUUGACUUACUGGUGAAGAAUGAAUCAUAGAAGCUUAGGAUAAAACAAAGUUAUAUGGAUAUAUUGCAACCAAAUUCUUCCAUAGAUAUUUUUGAGAGCCAAUGGAUCACAAUAAUUAGAGAUAGAGAUGGUCAUGGUUUUGUCGGUAUCACUAUACAAGGCUGCUCUCUUGACCUUGCUUUAAUUAUUUUAUAUCAUUAUUAACUACCAAAAUGAUUUCCGGUGUUGUGCUGGCAUUUAUGAAUUUCUUUUACCACUAUAUUGGCUUACGAUACUCAAUCCAACAGCAAGUUCUGACUCUUAAAAUUAUUGAGUGUAGUGGUCUUAUUUAUCUUCGUGCUACUUUUUACUAGGCUCUUUACUGAUGAGUAUGAUGUGCGUGAUACUUGACUAGUUCUGAGAUACUCAAAGACUCAUGCUUUUAAUGCUUUACAAUAAUAAUCUAGCUCAUGUUUUGUUCUGAUUUCUUGAAUAAAUUUGCAGGAGGCCCAUUGCUGUAGUCAGUGGGGACAUGAUUUCCGUCCUGACUACAAGAGCCUUGCAAUCCUCAAGACUCAGUUUCCUAGUGUUCCUGUCGUGGCGUUGACUGUAAAUGCGAUAUUUCUUCGGGGAAGGUCAAAAUAAACAUACGGAUCCAUGUUCUAGGUUUGUAAAGACUUGCAAUAUCCUUUGCAGGCUACGGCCACUCAGAAAGUCCAAUAUGAUUUAAUGGAGAUGCUGCAUAUUCCAAAAAGUGUCAAGUUUGUUAGCACUGUCAACAGACCAAACCUUUUUUAUAAGGUUCAGUAAAGUGGCUUUUUUCUCACUUUUUCCUGAACAGAUCUUUAUUAUGAGGUUCAAUACUUGUGAAUGUUAAUCUGCCAAGGCUUCUUUUUGUCCAGGUACGAGAGAAGUCCUCUGUUGCCAAAGAGGUUAUUGAUGAAAUUGCUGAAUUCAUUCACGAGUCUUACUCAAACAAUGAGUCUGGUAUUGUCUAUUGCUUCUCACGAAAGGAAUCGAACAGGUUUCUGGCUUCCUGUUUCUAUUAUUCUCGCUGAAUUUGCUGAUGUAGGAAGUUAUUUUCCUGUGUAACUGCAUGACUUUUUCAUGAAAGAAUUAGUCAAUUUUCCUGCAGAGUACAUAGCAAGUUCUUUAUGGUUUCUUCUGUUCAAAAUAUUUUCCCCACCAAAAUAGUGAAUUUACCUUCUAUUUCAACUGGCAUGUACUGACUGUAUUCGGGUAUUAGGAGCCGCUAACUAGAGCUGAUUCAUUUUAUCUCAUUGAAUUCCAACUUUAGCUUAACUUGCUAUCUUGAUUCUUGACACUAAAGGAAUGCUGGAUUUGGUGGCCGUCAUUCUUCUUUCAUUCCUUCUCCAAAGCCCAUUUAUAGUUUUUUUUUAUAAAGACCCAUUUAUAGGUGUAAAACGAGAAGUUAGGCUUUACUGUUUUUCUGGACUGGGAAUUAGUGAAAUUUGAAGCAUGUUCGCCUGCAUGCACUGUGAAUUAUUUGCAUGUGUUCUUGUCCAGCGUUCAUAUAAAUAUUGAUUUCUUGUUGUGUAUAUGUAAUUAGUAGGUUGCUGCAGAAUUACGUACACGGGGAAUUUCAGCUGAUUACUACCAUGCAUACAUGGAUCCCGAUUCACGUGACAAAGUGCAUAUGAGGUACCAUUAUUGUGCUGUGAUAGUUAUUCUUAAAUUGUAGUUUAUGUAUCGUAGAUUUAAGAGAAUAGACCGCUCUUAUUAUUACGAUAGCCGGUAGGCAAUAGGGUAUAUAUACACAAGUCUUCAUAUGAGACUUAUCUACUCUAGGAAUCCUAUUAGGAGAUAGUUACCUAAUAAUAUAUACUAUAGUUAAUACAAUUACUAUAGGGAAAUGGAAAUAUAUAUCCUAAUUAGGAACUACAUAGGAUUAUCUACACUCCUCCUCAAGCUUGGUGUAGAUAUUCACAAGACCAAGCUUGGACUUGAAGUACUUUAGGUGCUCGUGUGAUAGAGCCUUUGUGAGAACAUCGGCUGUUUGUUGCUUGGAAGGANNNNNNNNNNNNNNNNNNNNNNNNNNNNNNNNNNNNNNNNNNNNNNNNNNNNNNNNNNNNNNNNNNNNNNNNNNNNNNNNNNNNNNNNNNNNNNNNNNNNNNNNNNNNNNNNNNNNNNNNNNNNNNNNNNNNNNNNNNNNNNNNNNNNNNNNNNNNNNNNNNNNNNNNNNNNNNNNNNNNNNNNNNNNNNNNNNNNNNNNNNNNNNNNNNNNNNNNNNNNNNNNNNNNNNNNNNNNNNNNNNNNNNNNNNNNNNNNNNNNNNNNNNNNNNNNNNNNNNNNNNNNNNNNNNNNNNNNNNNNNNNNNNNNNNNNNNNNNNNNNNNNNNNNNNNNNNNNNNNNNNNNNNNNNNNNNNNNNNNNNNNNNNNNNNNNNNNNNNNNNNNNNNNNNNNNNNNNNNNNNNNNNNNNNNNNNNNNNNNNNNNNNNNNNNNNNNNNNNNNNNNNNNNNNNNNNNNNNNNNNNNNNNNNNNNNNNNNNNNNNNNNNNNNNNNNNNNNNNNNNNNNNNNNNNNNNNNNNNNNNNNNNNNNNNNNNNNNNNNNNNNNNNNNNNNNNNNNNNNNNNNNNNNNNNNNNNNNNNNNNNNNNNNNNNNNNNNNNNNNNNNNNNNNNNNNNNNNNNNNNNNNNNNNNNNNNNNNNNNNNNNNNNNNNNNNNNNNNNNNNNNNNNNNNNNNNNNNNNNNNNNNNNNNNNNNNNNNNNNNNNNNNNNNNNNNNNNNNNNNNNNNNNNNNNNNNNNNNNNNNNNNNNNNNNNNNNNNNNNNNNNNNNNNNNNNNNNNNNNNNNNNNNNNNNNNNNNNNNNNNNNNNNNNNNNNNNNNNNNNNNNNNNNNNNNNNNNNNNNNNNNNNNNNNNNNNNNNNNNNNNNNNNNNNNNNNNNNNNNNNNNNNNNNNNNNNNNNNNNNNNNNNNNNNNNNNNNNNNNNNNNNNNNNNNNNNNNNNNNNNNNNNNNNNNNNNNNNNNNNNNNNNNNNNNNNNNNNNNNNNNNNNNNNNNNNNNNNNNNNNNNNNNNNNNNNNNNNNNNNNNNNNNNNNNNNNNNNNNNNNNNNNNNNNNNNNNNNNNNNNNNNNNNNNNNNNNNNNNNNNNNNNNNNNNNNNNNNNNNNNNNNNNNNNNNNNNNNNNNNNNNNNNNNNNNNNNNNNNNNNNNNNNNNNNNNNNNNNNNNNNNNNNNNNNNNNNNNNNNNNNNNNNNNNNNNNNNNNNNNNNNNNNNNNNNNNNNNNNNNNNNNNNNNNNNNNNNNNNNNNNNNNNNNNNNNNNNNNNNNNNNNNNNNNNNNNNNNNNNNNNNNNNNNNNNNNNNNNNNNNNNNNNNNNNNNNNNNNNNNNNNNNNNNNNNNNNNNNNNNNNNNNNNNNNNNNNNNNNNNNNNNNNNNNNNNNNNNNNNNNNNNNNNNNNNNNNNNNNNNNNNNNNNNNNNNNNNNNNNNNNNNNNNNNNNNNNNNNNNNNNNNNNNNNNNNNNNNNNNNNNNNNNNNNNNNNNNNNNNNNNNNNNNNNNNNNNNNNNNNNNNNNNNNNNNNNNNNNNNNNNNNNNNNNNNNNNNNNNNNNNNNNNNNNNNNNNNNNNNNNNNNNNNNNNNNNNNNNNNNNNNNNNNNNNNNNNNNNNNNNNNNNNNNNNNNNNNNNNNNNNNNNNNNNNNNNNNNNNNNNNNNNNNNNNNNNNNNNNNNNNNNNNNNNNNNNNNNNNNNNNNNNNNNNNNNNNNNNNNNNNNNNNNNNNNNNNNNNNNNNNNNNNNNNNNNNNNNNNNNNNNNNNNNNNNNNNNNNNNNNNNNNNNNNNNNNNNNNNNNNNNNNNNNNNNNNNNNNNNNNNNNNNNNNNNNNNNNNNNNNNNNNNNNNNNNNNNNNNNNNNNNNNNNNNNNNNNNNNNNNNNNNNNNNNNNNNNNNNNNNNNNNNNNNNNNNNNNNNNNNNNNNNNNNNNNNNNNNNNNNNNNNNNNNNNNNNNNNNNNNNNNNNNNNNNNNNNNNNNNNNNNNNNNNNNNNNNNNNNNNNNNNNNNNNNNNNNNNNNNNNNNNNNNNNNNNNNNNNNNNNNNNNNNNNNNNNNNNNNNNNNNNNNNNNNNNNNNNNNNNNNNNNNNNNNNNNNNNNNNNNNNNNNNNNNNNNNNNNNNNNNNNNNNNNNNNNNNNNNNNNNNNNNNNNNNNNNNNNNNNNNNNNNNNNNNNNNNNNNNNNNNNNNNNNNNNNNNNNNNNNNNNNNNNNNNNNNNNNNNNNNNNNNNNNNNNNNNNNNNNNNNNNNNNNNNNNNNNNNNNNNNNNNNNNNNNNNNNNNNNNNNNNNNNNNNNNNNNNNNNNNNNNNNNNNNNNNNNNNNNNNNNNNNNNNNNNNNNNNNNNNNNNNNNNNNNNNNNNNNNNNNNNNNNNNNNNNNNNNNNNNNNNNNNNNNNNNNNNNNNNNNNNNNNNNNNNNNNNNNNNNNNNNNNNNNNNNNNNNNNNNNNNNNNNNNNNNNNNNNNNNNNNNNNNNNNNNNNNNNNNNNNNNNNNNNNNNNNNNNNNNNNNNNNNNNNNNNNNNNNNNNNNNNNNNNNNNNNNNNNNNNNNNNNNNNNNNNNNNNNNNNNNNNNNNNNNNNNNNNNNNNNNNNNNNNNNNNNNNNNNNNNNNNNNNNNNNNNNNNNNNNNNNNNNNNNNNNNNNNNNNNNNNNNNNNNNNNNNNNNNNNNNNNNNNNNNNNNNNNNNNNNNNNNNNNNNNNNNNNNNNNNNNNNNNNNNNNNNNNNNNNNNNNNNNNNNNNNNNNNNNNNNNNNNNNNNNNNNNNNNNNNNNNNNNNNNNNNNNNNNNNNNNNNNNNNNNNNNNNNNNNNNNNNNNNNNNNNNNNNNNNNNNNNNNNNNNNNNNNNNNNNNNNNNNNNNNNNNNNNNNNNNNNNNNNNNNNNNNCAUUUUCUGAGUGUAGAGGCAGUUCUGGUUCAACUGUAUCUUCCACAUCAGCAAGACUUUCUGCAGUUGUAAUCUCCUCAGAGUUCGUAGGAGUUGUUCUUCUCCUUUGUUAGUACACGUGUUGAAUAGCUGAUUGUUGUCUCUCCUCGGGUUCAGGUUGAGAACUUGGUAAGGAGACCACAACCUGAGGCAUUACUGUUCAACCUCCAUAGGAAUUAACAUGUCCAGAGUUUCUUCUCCUGCCACUCUCCCCUUGACGCUCUGGAUUGCCAUAAUAUCCGAAGGUCUCAAAGAAGGUUACAUCCAUGGUGGUGAAUACCUUAUUUGUGGAUGGAGAAUAACACUUGUAGCCGUGUUGGCGAGGUGCAUAUCCAAUGAACACAAAUUUCUGUGCACGUGGAUCAAGUUUUUUCUGUUGGUGUUGUUGAAUGUGGACAACCGCAAGGCACCCGAAUACCUUCGGGUCCGUAGCUGACAUAUAAGCUCGCACAUGUGGAUGUCUGCACAAGCACAUCCUUUGGGGUCUAGUAGUUUAAGACUCAACAUGGUAGUCUGUUGAUUAGGUAGGUAGUUGUUAGGACAGCCUCUCCCCAUAAGUGUUUCGACACAUGUUUAGUGAACAUUAGUGCCCUAGCAGUCUCAAGAAGGUGUCGGUUCUUACGUUCUGUAAUACUAUUCUGCUGUGGGGUAUGAACACAAGAACUGUAGUGUAUGACUCCUCGUUGAGAGAGAUAGGUUCCUAGUUCUGAGUUAAAAUAAUCAUGAAUGUAGAUUUAAGAGAAUAGACUGCUCUUAUUAUUAUGAUAGCCUGUAGACAAUAGGGUAUAUAUACACAAGUCUCCAUAUGAGACUUACCUACUUUAGGAAUCCUAUUAGGAGAUAGUUACCUAAUAAUAUAUACUAUAGUUAAUACAAUUACUAUAGGGAAACAGAAAUACAUAUCCUAAUUAGGAACUACAUAAGAUUAUCUAUUAUCUACAUGUAUGUUUCCUGGCCAAGACAAUGGAUUAAUAAUAUUAAAAAUUGAACGCAAUUCUACCUUGAGCUACGAUAAAUUUCUUGGGGGGUACUUGGAAAAUCAAACUGAGGGAAUAAAAAUUCGUGUAGAAAGUAACUAAUUUUUAUAAAAGGGACAAUGUUAACGUUUAAUUGAACAUGAGAAAGGAAGGUUGUAAAGUUAUUACAAUUACAUCAAUACUAUCAGUAGGAACUACUUUUUUCUGGCUAAGAUUGUUAUUAUCUUGCAUCCCUAAUGAACUAGACUCUCUCUUUAUUGCAUGCUGCAUUGCUGCUGGAUAAGUAUAAAGAUAACUCUCUUUAUUGCAUGCUGCGUAAGUAUAAGAUUGAGCCCUGGGCUGGAAAGUUAUUCUGAAAGAGGAAGGAAUAUUUUCCCAUAAGUCCUCUAAAGGGUAUCAUAUUUGGGCAAACACAAAAGAAUAACUGAAUUAUAGACAGAGUCCACAGUGGCAACCGUAAAUUAAGUUUCUAUAUUUACUUAGUUUUUGUGUGAAAAUCGAUUGAUCUAUAUUUCCUAUGUCUGAUGCUGCCUUCAGGCACCUUACUGUACAUUGCUAGGUUUUUAAUGUCUACCGCUUUAUAGGCUUUUCUAAUUCCCUUUCCCAUUCCCUAAUUAAAUUAUGUCUUGCUUCUUUAAUCUAUGCUGAUGAAGGAGACUUCAAUUUUGUGUUUCUUGUGCACGUUUGCUCUAUAACUUACAAUUUGAGUGGCCUCAUGACACAGGUGGAGCAAGAAUAAGUUGCAGGUUAUUGUUGGCACGGUAGGUGAAAUAUAAGAUGACGGCAUUUCAUUUUGUUUUAUCUCAACCCUAAUUUUUUGUUUGUGUGCCAGGUAGCAUUUGGUAUGGGAAUCAACAAACCUGAUGGUAAAUGCAUUCCUGUUUUCUGGCUAGUGACUACUUAAUUGCACGUCUGCACAUAUAUGGUCGUGUAUCUAAUUCCCGGUUGAUGUUUGUAGUUAGGUUUGUUAUACAUCACAGCUUGAGCAAAUCAUUGGAGACAUAUUACCAGGUUUCACCCUCUUGCCUGCUUAACUAGUCUUUCUCGUGUUCUCUUCUUAUAUAUCUCCCCUGACUUCAGGAGAGUGGUAGAGCUGGACGAGAUGGGCUACCUUCUGAAUGUCUAAUAUUUUUCAGAUCUGGUGAUGUUCCAAGGCAGGUAAUAUCUCUCUCUUAUUGCCAUUUGGUUUCUACAGCAUUAUGCUUGACUAUUUUUGGAUUCAUCGCUGCACAGAGCUCGAUGGUCUUCUACGAGAAUUCUGGACUGCAGAAUCUCUAUGAUAUAGUACGAUAUUCCCAGGUAAAGCUCUCAUGGUGUUUUAUAUGCAUGCAUGCCUGCUAUAUGGCCUCGCUACUAUGAUAGUCAUAAAAUAAACCACAUGAAGAAAUCUCAUGGACCAUUAAAGUUCGACUGAAUGUUAGAACUUUUGCUUGAGGUAGUCUACAUAAAAGUAAUCCUGCAUAUACUUGUAAUCGAGAGUAGCAGAAAUGCCUGUUAUCAUUCCUCCCUAUCUGGCCUCUAAGUUUUAUGUACUAAACUCGAUAACCAAAUUCCUUGCCUUCUUUGGUCUGUUUACCUCCGAUGUACAUGUUGCUGAUGAAUGGAUUAUUGAUCACCUCUUUUCUUCAAAUUGUAGUCGAAAAGGCAGUGUCGCCGAGCUGCAUUCUUUCGACAUUUUAGUGAGCCACUGCAGGACUGUAAUGGUAAAAUUUGGUGUUGGUUACUGUAAUGAAAUUUUGACACUUGAUUACUGCAUACUAAUCUUUUCUUUUUGCAGGGAUGUGUGAUAACUGUGCUUUUUUGAAUGAGAUUGAUUAUAGAAGUUGAUGUUUCCAGUAAGUUUCUUUCCCUAGCAAUCUGGUAAAUUUAAUCGAGUCCUCUAUUAUCCUCUUCAAUUCAGAAAUUUUUUUCUUCAAUUCAGAAAUUUGUUGAGUACUUGUUUGUCCGUUUGCCAUUUCCUGUGCCUUAUGUCAUACUUGUAAUCACAAUGUUUAACAGCGGGUGAAAGAAAAAUCACGAUUCACUUCUUCUUUCCUUUUUCUAGAAUCUACGCGAGUAGUGCAUUUUCCGGUGCUCAUAUGCAAGUAACCAUUUUAUGUAGAAUCAUAGUCCCACAAAUGACAGAUGGGAAUCCCACAAGUGACUGUAAUUAUAAAAGUCCCACUAGUAACUCGCAAUUUAUAAAAGUCCCACAAGUGAUUGCAGAUUUGCAGUUAAGACAUGACAACUUUUCUUAUCCAGAUUACGCGUCUUCAGCUUGACCCCUCUGUUAAAUCCAAUUAUUCGCUUACAUAAUUCCUUAUUUGAGCAGUCCGUUGAAACAACGUUUGAAACAUACAAAUGCAUUUAUGUGGUGACAGUUAAUAUUUGGUAUUCUAUGCAGAUUAUGCAGUUGCUUUUGUCUCAUUGCUGAAAAAUGUGAUGGAGAACGAUCAAAGAUUAACGACGCUACAAUUACUAGACAAAAUGAAACCCAGGCAUAAGGAACUAGGUUGGUUCUCUGCCUUGUUCUUUAGGCGUUAGAAUAAACCUUUUUUCUACUUGCCUUAGACUUUCACGUUUACACUCUUAGUAAACAAUUGCGGUGUCUUUGUUCUCUGUGCAAAACUGGUUGCGUUUAUCCAAUAUGCGCGAGCUGAAAUUUGUGUGUUCUCUGUAUCUCAUAGGAUCUACCUUAAAAAGGGAUGAAAUGGAGCAGCUUGUAUUGCAGCUUAUACUUGAUCGAGUUCUGGUAAUUAAUUUUUUCUUCCUUAGUAGAGCACUUUGGAUAAUGGACGAUGACAGUUUCUUAGAGACACUACUUGCUUGAUUAUGUGGUCGUGGUCGGCCUUUCUUCGUUCUUCCCAUUUGGAAACUGCUUCAAGAAGAUUCCUUAACGUGUGCUUUGUUUUCUUAUGUCACGGUUGGACCGUUGGCAAAUCAAGUGCUGCAAGGUAGGAUUCCUAUAUUUUACUAAUGAUUGUGGGUUCCCUUUCUGAAUUGUCAAUUACCACACACAGGAAAGAAGGCUGUCAAGAUGGAGACUUGUAGCAAACAGAAGAUCAAGGCUGGAGAUAUAAGAUCAGUGAAACACAGAUUGUCUGGGUUAGGGUCCAAAAUUGAUGAGCUGCGGAAAGAGCUCUCUUUGAAUCAUGGUGGGAAAUUCCCUCAUUCUGUGUUGUCCAGUCAGCAGAUGAGCAUGAUCAGCUCCCAAAAGCCCAACUCAAUAGAAGAGGUAAAAAUCAUGGCAAGUAUUGGAAAUGCAGGGAGGGCCUUUUCAAGCAUAUAUGUAGUGCUUUUGAUGCAUCCUUUUGUUGUUGCUGCAGUUGGAGAAGAUAAUUGGAAAACUGAAAGCUGAUAAGUACGGGGACAGGAUUCUGGAAGAGGUUAAGAAUUAUGGAGGUUCUGAAGAUGAACCUGAAAGCUCAACGUUGAAGGAUGAAGCAAGCGGUGAUAAGAGGGCCAGUAAGAGACAGAAGACCAGAAAGAAUGUGGUGGUCGUUGAUAGCGAUGAAGACGAGCCAUGAAGCAUUAUUGUUAGCUGCAGUAGAAACACUCUACAUUGUAGAACGUAUCCAUGACACAAACUCACAUUCCUUGCGAAACAUUGCUACAUAGGGAUUGCUAUAAGAUGCCAUAUAUAGAAUUACGCGAAUGCUCUUCGAACCUAAUGUUUAAAUACACACGAUCUAACUCGGAACAAAUUCAUGACCUAACUCGCUCCGUCUGAUCGCCCUGCCGCCACCAAUUCUGAAAAAACAAAGGCGUCGCCAUUAAAUGGUGCCAAUAUUACUAUCACUUGCGCCAUUAACGCCAUUUAAUGGCAUUGAGAGAAGUCCGACAACACCUUUAGGCAUUCGUGUCAUUUCAAGUCUCGAUUUCAAAUGUUAAAGUGUUUUGUUGUAAAACUUAAGGCGUUGUAUAGCAUUUCAGUAUUCUAUUCAAAUCAAGGAAACCUUUUUACCCAAAUACAACACAUUUUAUUAAAAGCAUCGCAAGUGCAACCUUUACUACAUGAGUUACCAGUUAUCUACAACAACACACAUCAAGUCCAGUUUAGUCUUGAUGGUAAAUGAUCUGUAUCCUAUUCUGUAAGAAAACGAGUAUGUGGCCAGAUCUGAAAGACAAAAACCGGCUUAUCCGACCGACCCUUCAAGCUUCAAGCUCAUCAGCUGAUUCACCUCUGCCCCAAAUUCAUCUGGAAGCUCAUUGAACACAUCUCUACAAAACCCUGAUAUCAUUGCAGCCAUUGCUCUUUCGUAGUCUACCCCCCUCUGCUGAAAGUAGAACAGCUGAUCCUCCCCGAUUUUUGACGUGCUCGCUUCAUGUUCUACCCUUGCUGUUGGAUUCUUCACCUGUUUUUAACCACCAUCAGUAACUGUAUUCAUAGUUCCAUAGAAGAUGAUAACUGCUACAGAAAUGAAUACGAACAAACAUAUGUCCGUGUGAAAAUAGCUACACAAUCCUCCAGUAUAUACACUCAAAGGUACAUGGCCAUCCAUCCACCUACAGAAUAUCUCAGUUUUCCCACCAAUAAGAAAACUAGAGGACAUCAAUUCUUACAGGCGCAACAGAUUUGAUUGCAACAAAAAUUCCUGACAGCCGGAAAAUAUUUUUAAGAUAGAAACAAAAGAGUAUCCAAACAGCAUGGUCAAUUUUCCUAACUUACUAUGGCAUCAACUCCCGCUCUAACGAACUCUUUUAUAGCUACCAAACUCCAAAAGACAGAUGGGAAAAUGACCUCGAGAACCAGUUCUAGCAUAGGUUCUUCUUGAAAUCGGUGAACACAGAAAACUUUCAUAAGAAUUUGAUACGCGACAAAGGUAUUGGCUUGGUCAGGGAAGAUGGGUGAGGUUGUCAAUUGUCAUGCGUGACUGCUGAUCCACACAUACAAACAGUAGAACACCAAUUGCCUUUCAUAUGAUGCGAGAUACCGCAUACGAUACAUGAUACAUGUAGAUAAUAAAAUCUGUAGUGAAAUGAAGAAAUCGAAGAAUUAUACCUGGAUAUAAGGAUAGGUAUUGGCGGCUGCAGUAUCACCAAUAAGCAUCGAGUCGCACUGAGAUGAGUUGCGGGCAUUUUCUGCUUUUGACUGAAUCUGGACAAGCCCCCUGUAACAGUUUCUUGAAUGGCCAACCGAAAUACCCUUUGAUAUAAUUCGACUCUUUGUAUUUUUCCCCUUGUGGAUCAUCUUCGUUCCUGUAUCCGCCUGUUGGUAAUUAUUGGUCAAAGCAACUGAAUAGAACUCUCCUACAGUGUCAUCACCUUCCAAGACGACACUAGGGUACUUCCAAGUAAUUGCAGAGCCCGUCUCCACCUGAGUCCACGAUAUCUUAGAUCGGUCCCCAGCACAAACUCCGCGCUUGGUAACGAAAUUAUAAAUGCCGCCUCUGCCUUCCUCAUCGCCAGCAUACCAGUUCUGCACCGUGGAGUAUUUAAUCUCGGCACUCUCACCACAGUAUAACUCAACAACAGCUGCAUGAAGCUGGUUAGUAUCAUAGGAAGGAGCAGUACAACCUUCUAAGUACUCAACGAAACUCCGAUCAUCAGCAACAAUCAAAGUCCUCUCGAACUGGCCCGUUUCCAUGGCGUUGAUUCUAAAGUAGGUGGAAAUCUGCAUGGGGCAUUUGGUAUCCUUGGGUAUAUAGAGAAAUGAACCAUCACUGAACACUGCAGAAUUAAGAGCUGCAUAAUAGUUAUCCUCAAUAGGUACAACUUUCCCCAAAUACUUCUUCACCAAAUCAGGAUACUUGUUCACAGCUUCGGAUAUAGAACAAAAGAUAACACCAGACUUCUCUAAAGUCUUCCUAUGGGUUGUAGCUAUGGAGACGCUAUCAAGAACAGCAUCAACAGCAACAUUAGCCAAUCUAUUCUGCUCAUUGAGAGGCACACCCAGUCUAUCGAAGUACUUGAGAAGCUCCGGGUCAGCUUCAUCAAGACUAUUCAAAGUAGGUUUCUUCUUAGGUGCAGAAUAAUAGCAAAGGUCUUGGAAGUUAAUGGGCGGGUAUCGAUUGUCAGACCAGUUAGGCUCUUUCAUGAGCAAGAAUUUGCGAAAAGAUUUCAAUCUGAAAUCAAGCAUCCAGUCAGGUUCCUGCUUCAACUUGGAAAUGGACCUGAUUGUGUCUUCGGAAAGACCCUUGGGGAUGGAAAAGGAGUCGAUAUCGACAGUAAAGCCGAAUUUCUCCUUGUAAUCGCGAUUGCGAAGAAUUUCCUUGAUUUUGUCAUCGGAGGAGGUGAGAGUAGAAGUUGAAGAAGAGAGAGUACCUGGUCCUGAAUCGGUGAGAUCUGCUCGGAUUUUGAGUGUCCUGGAAGGCCUUGAGGGUUUGAAGAACUUGGAUGAAUCGGAGAUGGGCUGGGAAGAGAAGCAGGGGAUACCGUUGGUCAAAAGAGACGACGCCAUCUGGUAGUUGAAAGCUUUGUUUUUUUCCAGAUGAAAUUAAUAGAACUCAAACAUGGAUAUCCGUAUUCUUUUAGGGAUUAGGCAUUGGCGGCCAUUGUAGUUUUGGGUAUGUAACAUCUUGAUCACUAGACCUUUUUUUAACUCAGGUUUUUCUUAGAUGACUAAUCGUAUACAUUUUCGUUCGAAUUAAGUCCAUCAAACGUGCCCUUUCGGCCGUCGAGUAUUAGGUAAUCCGUUAUGCUCAACCCUAUGAGGCAUGCAAUGCUUUUGGUGCAUUCUUUUUGUAGUUUUUGCUGCAAUUGAAGAAGACAAUGGAAAGCUGAUAAAUACAGAAACAAAAUUUUAGAAGAGGUUAAGGAUUACGAAGAUUCUGAUGAGAAAUCUGAUCAGAGCUCAACAUCGAAGGACGAAGCAAGCAAUACUGAGAGGGUAGUAAGAUGAGCCAUUAAACCAUUAUUAUUAGCUCUACAGACACUCUAAGCUUAACUGUUCUGUGCAUUUAUCCAUGGAGUUGCAUGGUUGAUGAAAAGUGACAAAUAAAAAAUAUAUCAGAGCCUGGUUUCGAUCCAGGGACCUGUGGGUUAUGGGCCCACCACGCUUCCGCUGCGCCACUCUGAUAUUCAUGUCAAAAUGAUAUUUUUGUAUGUAAUUAUCUUCAGUUACGUCAUUCUGAAGACAAUGACCACGAUGAAAUACUCGACUGCAGUUCCAAUCCAAAGAAAUAAGAACAGAAUUUGUUUCUGUUUUCAAUUGAAAGGUGUUUAGUUAGUGUUGUAGUGAUGUCACCAUGUCGGGACUAAAGAGAGGACUCAGUAAUGAGGCUACGGUUUUAAUAGCGAUGAAAGUUAUUAACGUACAUUGUGUUAUCCAUAGGCGAUGAUCGUACGAGGUUGACACUGUAAACAGGCACAUGAAUCAGUUCACGAACUCAGCUUUCCGCAUCUGGUUGAACUUAAUAGUGGAUACUGGAUACUUCAACCAAUAUAUAUCUAGUUAUUCACAUGACUAAGCCCCCAUGUACUAGAGAGGGAGGAAAGAAGUAAAACGAACCUGCUUUUUGUUAAGUAGUGCGAGUCAUAACAGGAUCCACCCUAAAGAAAAAGCAAAAAGGCAGAACUACAAAGUGGAAGAUGAUGCGAGGUCUUUAGUCUCGGAAGCGGAGAUUCUUCGCACCAACUUCAUGUAUAGCCUGGAAGGCGACUCUGUACUUUGCAAGAGAUGCGGAGCCAGCUUCAAUGUAACUACUAGCUGCUUCUCUCAAACUCCACUUCAUCAAGGCCUUGAGUUCUUGCGUGUCUGACAACGACUCUGCAUCACGAGGAGUGCCAUACUCGGCAUUCUUGGUCCACCGGUGCAACAUGUACCGGGAUGGAAGUUCCCUUAUCCCAAGCAAGUCCAAGACUUUGAGAGCUUGACGACAGAGCGCACCCCCUCAAAUUUCAAACAUCUUGCAGCUACAGUUGAUGUGAAGAUUCAAUCUAUCAAUGCAAACUGUGUAAUUCUCAUUCUCGCCCCCACAUCUCUGCAGUGAGAAUCUGCUUACUGUCUUUUCUUCGAAUGUCUUUUUCGCAAAGUAAUUGCAGCUUUGCAAUAGUUCUUCCUGAAAUAUCCUGAAUAUAGUGAUGGUGUAAAGCGUUCUGCAGUGGCUCUCUAUUGGUUCUUUUGUAAGCAGAAGAGCUUGCAGACUGCGACAGUUGAAGUCUUCUUUCUGUUCCUCUUCCCUUUGCUGUUCGAGGACUUGCUCGUAUAGUGAAAUGAACUCAUCAGGUUCAGCUUGGACGAGUGAGUUUGAAGAGGAUGGUGAUCUCAGAUCCCCAUUUAUCGGAACGCCUGCAAAGAAUGAUCCUCGCAGGUACCACGGAACCUAACAUUCACGAUUUUCAUACAUUUGCUGAAGCCAGACACUAUCCUCGAGGCCAUGCCGGCUAACAAUAGCAUUCCAACUAGUAGUGAACUCGGAAGGUGUUGAGCUCUGGGGUAUGCACUCCUCAUACUGAGAUCUAAAGUCGUUGGACGUUGAAAUGACUUGAAGAGAAGCGAUAACGUGUCCCCGGAAAGACAUGAGCAACUGAUUGUUGGAUUGCCUCGUCUUGAUUUCCUAUAACAGAUUUCGGGCAGCUUCCGGACAUAGCCUUAUGCCAUGUUUGAAACAACCAUGUGAAUGCCUCCUUUGAUUCGUUUGCAAUUAGAGCACAUCCAAGAAUCACUGGCUGCCUGUGGUGGUUACCUCCAAGAACAUGGCAAAAGGCACUGAUGCGUGGCUCUCCUUCCUGUAUGAAGUAUCACGUACAAUGGCAUCCCCGAAUUGGCUACCUGCAAAUCGUGACCUUCCAUCUGCCCAGAAAAUGCUCUUACAUCUACCAUUAUUAAUCUCCAGACUGUAAAAGAAGCCCGUGUCUUGUGCUUGCCUAGUCUCAAAAUAAUCAAGAAGCAUAGAGUACCAGUCACUUCCGAUUCCAUUCUGAAUCUGGGGAACCCAAUCCACCACUUACCUCAUCCAUCACAGACUCCUCAGCUUUUAGCCCUAUGGCAUGAUUAUGAUCCUUCUCAAAACGAUCUACUAUCCAAGUUCCGUUUGUUUGCAUCUUUAUCCUCAUAACUGCCCCACAUCCAACUCUUAACGGAUGCUAAAAUCCUUCCCUAGAGCACACGAAUUGGCGGGAGGUAAUUGAUCCAUCAUGAUUCGCCCGAGCUCGAAACCCAACCUUGCCUGCAUAAGCCUGAUAAAACUGAUAAGCUUCGUCAGCUUCAUCGAACACUAGCCCCGAUUGUCGCGCAGCACGAUGCUCCGUUCUAAUACGUUUGGCAUUGACAACUUGGGAUAAACAGGGACCGUGAUCAUCGACUUUCUUCCGAAUCUUGACUUUCGCUUUUCGCCUUGGAGCAGACGAUUUUUUCACAGGAACAUAAUUUCUGACUUCAAGAAAGAGAAAUUCAUGGUUAUGAUCCUUCUCCAUUUGGUCAAUCGCCCAUUUACCGGAUUCACGCUGCUUCUGCACCCUUAUGAAUGCCGGACAGCCAUUCCUUGAAUCAAGCUGGAAACCUUCCUGCUGGCACACGUACCUCCUGGAUGCAACAGAUCCAUCUCGAGAGCAAUAAAGCUGUCCGAUUCUGGUUCGAAACCCUAUACGAGUGCCGUACAUUCUGUACAACUCUCGAGCAUCAUCGGCUGAAUCGAAUUCUAGCCCUAUAUAUGGUUCAAUCCCUUUAACAGAGGAGUCCAUCGCACUAGCUAUCCCUGCUGAGUGUGGUUUCGAAUUCAAGUUGUUACCGAGCACGUCGACAUAAAGAUCAGCCUCUGAGCUGCUGCAUAUUCAUUGAACACAUUCAAAACUCAGCGUCUUUGAUUCUAUUGGCAAAAUAAAACACUUAAUUAGUGUCAUCAGGAAAGCGACUACCUACUAUGCAACUUAGCUUAUUGCCAAUCAGAAAACCCUAGUGCCGCCCAAGCAAAAACACUACGAAACAACGAGAAGUAAUUACAAUUCACAAAGCCAAACCUUUUCAAUCAAAGUUACUUAUUGGGAAAAGAAAAGGCUUCAAAUUUUGUUAUUUUUUUAUACAAAAACAAAGGGUUUCCUGCUGGUGAUGAAAUUGCAACUCAGAACGGGAACCCAGAAAUCCAAAGGGAGAAGUGUCGGGAUCACAACGGCCGAGAGAGAAGAUGGAAUCAAAGGAUUGAAAGAUGGUUACUUUCAACCUCAAAGAGUAUGAUUACCAUUAUAAAUCCACCAAAAAUGAACGUGACGAAGAGAGACUCACAACGAUUUUACUCCGCUAUGAUGGAAAGAGUUGACGCCUCACAAGGGGUUUAAAUAGAUUGAUAACAUGCUUUUCUAAUAAGAAUAAGACCUUAAUGGGUGUUUGGCUCAUAAACUAUGAAUUUGGUAAAUUAAAGUCCAACACUUCAAUAACUAGAUCAAGAUCAUUCAUUUAUCAGCUCUUUUUAAGCCAAUAGCUCAGCUUAAGAAGUCGAAGCCAAUUUUUCACAAGGACAAAGCAAAGUCCAAGUUUAAGCUACUUACAGCUGAGCUUGACGCAGAAGUAUGGCUUCUGGUCGACGCCCCCGACCUUAAUGAUGGCAGACCCUCGAUUUUCCUGUUCUUCGGAGUACUUGGAUGGGAUUUUCUUAUACAACUACCAUCAUCAAGUGCCUGCGAAUUCGUAGAUUAAAAGACACUUCCAAAAAAACUUUAAUCAUUCAACUCUUUGAGUUUGUGCAACACCUCAUGAAGAACCAUUAUUACUUUGUCUUGAAUCGGUUUGUUUGCAGUGAUUGCAGCCUGAGGCAAGAGGUCUGGAGAUUAAAAAAAAAAACAUUUUAACCUUGGGAAUAACAGAGAUGAGCAUUCUUCCAAAAGGCCGCAUUUUUAGUUUCCAUGGACAGCUAUAUAAGCAUUAUUACAAGUAUGCAGGCACAGUGGUACUUGGUCAGAUCCAGUUUUCUUAAAUGGUCACAUCCCAAAACUAUUAACAAUUCCCAUUACUUAGGAGCGCUAUAUACAUUACCAGACCACCUCCUCAACUAAUGUUGCAUUCCCUAGGAUCUUCAGCAGAAGAUGCUUCUGCCUCUGGGAAACCUACAGCAUAUCCAUCACUGUCCUCUAAAUCAAACCUGCUCUCGAAAUAUGCCACUGCUUCAUUCCUCUGGAGCCUCAAUAUCCUCAUUAUCACAUCUGGAGUCAGGUACACCUGCGAAUGGUCUUCCCUACCUUGCUUGUUCGACUCCAUAAUCUGUUCACCGGACAUGCACCAGGAUACAUAUACAUAAAUCAUCACUUGGAUUUAUGUGCAGUAAUAAUAGUUAAGUAUGCAAGGUUAUUUACCUUUUCUAUAUUUUCUGGUAACGGAGGAGAUCCAGAUGUGCUGGGAACCCAGAGCUUAACAGUUUUCUCUAUCCCACAACUUGCAAACAUAGGCAUACAAGGAUGCGGCUCAAUUUGGUUAACUACGUGGCGAUCGCCAAACAUUACUCGAACAAGCCUUGAAUCCUGCUUCUUCCAGAUAAAUAUGUGACCACAAUCAGAUCCCGUUGCCACAUACUCGUCAUUCAGGCCCAAGAAACUGACCCCUUUAACUGUCUGUGAAUUCCUGUGUCCCAUGUAGACUUGUGGCCCUUCAAGUUUCUCCAACUCUUGUGCUGACAAAGCAGAUGGAUUUGGACCCAUCCCCAUGUUCUUUUGGAAUAAAUAAAUAAGUUCAUCAUUGUAAGAGACCAGAAGUUCACUUGAGUUGGAGUAAGCCAAUGCAGUAAUAUGCACGCUGUUGUUCUUGAUCAAGUGACUGGGACACAAGGUAUCAAUAGGCGAGUCACCAUUGCUCGAUGAAUUCCAUCGACAUUUUCUUACAUCAUAUACACGAGCAUAUUCAUCAGAACCUCCUAUGCUGAAAUAAUUUGGUUUCCUUGGAUCAAUAACAAUUGCAUUUAACCUGAUCUUCUUCAGAUUCUGUUUGUCAGUCUCUCUCAGCUGGGAGCAGCAAAAGAGCCUUGUGCAAGAAGCACUACGGAGAUCAAACUGUCAAAAUUCACAGCAAAAACCUGCUGUCAGAUGUUGACUAUGACAAAGAAAAAGCAUUUCGCAAAUGUGAUCAUGUUCUUAAUUUUGACUGACAUGUUGCACAACGCCAUCUUCACCGCAGCUAUAAAGUAUGUGAGGACUUCCUGGCUCCACAGCAAGGUUAUGUGCACGCCCUUCAUGUUUCCCCAGCCUCUUUGUAUCCACAGUGCCAUCUCCUGUUACCUGGCCUAGCCGAACCUGUAAGGGUAGCACUGAUGCAGUUGAUUGUCAAGCUUGCUACUAACGAACUCAAUCCAUACCUCCCCGCAAAUGCAUUGUUGAAAACUAACAUGAUGCUACUUGUAAUUUCUGAAUAACCUCAAAAGGAAAUUACAUAAUAAAAAAAUACCACAAAUGAGUUAGCCAUUAGUGUCAAUUCACCUGUCCAUCAGCAGAGGAAGUAACUAUCGUCUGAUCAUCAGUGAGAGGCAUGAUUUUAGUCUGGAAUAUAUUGUCCGAGUGACCAGAAUCAUAUGACAUCUUCUUCUUUUGGGUUGUCCAAUCCCAGAAUAUGACUUGUCUGUCAUCGGAACCAGAUAUGAGAAGAUCCCCAGUGGAGUUGAACUGAAUAGCAUUAACACAUCCAUCAUGACCAACCAACUUCCCGUGAAGAUCAAUUUGUUUCACAAGGACCUGCAAAGUAAAUACAAGCUGAGAUCAAGAUUUGAUAUGCUUCGAAAACUUCAGAAAAGCAAUUUUAACUCGAGUAAGGAGCACACUAUAACUGCAGAUAGGCGAUACAGCCAUUCAUUGAGUACAACUCUUUAUUUUCAAAUCGUCAGAACUCGAUCCGAGGUUCCAAUGCCAAAAGGUGGAGACUUAGUCAGAAAGCUUCAAACCGACGGAAAUCGACCUAAUACCUAAUUACCGUGUUCCAUCAUCCACAAUACAAGAAACAGAUAAAUAUCCACAAGAACCAGGAGGCGGUGUGGGGACAGAGAUAAGACCCAACCUCAGAACCAGAUAAGCGGCGAAAGAAGUAUUUGGGGGAGGACAAACCCACUUCUCGUCUGAAGAUCUCGCCCAAUCCGAGUUUGAUUUUCUUUCGAGGAGUCGUCUCCAUUUCCAUGGCACAAGUAUAGCUUAUGGGAACAGAGUUCAUCUGGGAACCAUCUAGCAAAGUAAGAAUAAGAAAAUAUAUAAAUGAGAGUAAAUUUAAAACAAAAUGAUCUGUUUUUUGACCAAAAGAAAAACAAUAAUCUGUGGUUAGAUAUUGGGCCACCGCAAUGAAUGCGAGUAGAUUUGACCGAUUAUGGAUUAUGAGUGGGGUUGGUUUUUUUGUUUUGACGGUGUAACUUGGAAGCCUACCCCGAAUCGCGCAUAAAAUUCAGCUAAUCCAGGGGGAGGGGUCCUUUCCGACACAGAGUAGCAAGCCAAUCAGCUUUAAGAGUGGAGCUCUGCGGUCUGUACCGAAUCUUAAUAUAAGGGUUGCAGCAGAGCAGGUCUCGGAUAUGUCCUAGAGUUCCGAAAGCCUCCCAUGGCCAGGAUGGAGGCUCAGAUUCCAUCGCUCGUACACCCGUUUGGCAAUCGGAUACAAUGCACAUUGGGCCAUCAACACCUAAUGCCACAUGGAUUGCUUCAAGGAUAGCACGGCUCUCAGCAGCAAGGGUGGAGUUAAAGCAAAUCAGUCAUGCCACCCCAUCAAUCACAUCACCUGAGGCAUGAAAAACCACGACUUUGAAGGCUGCCUUCUGAGGUGCCUUUGAGAAAGAACCAUCACAGUGUAGUAGCGUGAGGUGGCUACUCGACAAAGGGGGAUUGAUACGAUGGGGAUGGGAAGGUAGGAUUGGGAGGGAUCCGGGGGAAGCAGCUCCCCAAGUCGUUGAGGUUGGAUUCAAUGUCAGCCCUAAUCUUGUAGAGGUCGACCUUGGCUUUUCGGAAAAUGAACUUGUUUCUUCAUUUCCAUAUGUUCCAAGAAAUUGUAGCCUUUCUUGCUUGCGAAGGGGAGGCGGUAUAGGUCGGCUAUGAGGUAAUCCAUUAUAAGAAUUCAUCUGACCCACUAGAAAGAGGUUGGCCGCCUAACCGUUUCGGCUAUCGAUUCGAAAGAAAUAUGUUUGAAGCUCACUUAGGGAUACAACGAGUCGGUUUUGUCAUAAAUUAGAAGUAACAUGCGCUAUGCCUCGAAAAAUGUUUUAGGUAUGGUGCAGAUUUGGGCGAUGCAUGUGUUAGAAAAUUAUGGGAGAAUAACACAAUGGACAUGAGAAACAACCAGUCACGAUUAUAGGAGAGUAAUAUUGUGGACAAGAGAAAGGGUUGAUCAAGGGUUUGUAAAUUUUCAUCUAAAUUGGAGAGGUUGGUCUCCCAUAGGUCAAAAGUACAUUGGGCAAGAAUAUAGGUCGACCAAGAGUUUGUGAAUCGUACAUCAUCAUAAUUAGAGAGUCGAGUCUCCUACAAGAUUACAGCCGACAAGAAAACUGGUCGACCAAGAGUUUAUGAGUCAGCAUCUCAAUAGGAGAGUCGGGUCUCCAAAAGGCCAAAAAUGACAACUCGUGAAUAGGGGCAACGAUCACAAAGCUCCGACAUACCCUCACUUAAGGCUAAAGUCGAUCAUUCUUCUAUAAUGUCGAGGCUCCAAACUGAAAGAAAAGAGACGGGGUGGUAUGAUGAGGAUCUGAUAGAGAUUUGGUGGAGGAGAACAUCGAUGACGUGGAAAAUGAGUUCAUAAAACGGUUUAUCUGCAAUUAAGUGAUCACAAUUUUGUAUCUAAUCGAUAGCCCUAGUUAUGAGAUUUCGUGUCAACCACCUUAAUUGGCCUGGAAUUACAUUGGUUGAUUAAUUAAAUCAAGUAAUUAAACACCUUAUUUUUCUCCUCCCAAUGGCUCUCACUCUCAAAUGGCUUCUCACUCUGCAACUCGUGCUUCCAGUUUGUUUAAAAGAGGAUAAGGAAAAUGUAGAUGAUAGAGCAAGGGGUGAAAUCAGAACCGUAUUGUGUUCACCGUCAAAUGCUCUUCAACAGAACAACAACAGAGUGUUGUAUUUGCUAUGGGUGGAUUACUGACCAUUCACAAAAUAACAACACACCCCAUCUCAGCUCAGCAAUUGACAAAGUAACCAGAACAAGUAGUUUUUGGGUUAAGAACAAGAAGUUGGAUGAUAGAAUCAUAGAACAAUAACAAAAAUUCACAGGAGAGGCAACUCCAGGGACUUAUACUCGGCCUAUACUAGAUGGAUAACGUAAGUAAUUGAAUUAAGUAAUGUGAUUCGUAAGUGCAUCAUUCAUGUUAAAAUGAUCGAUGAUGAAUUUACCAGAGUAAACUUUUAACAUGACAAGAUAAAAAAAAUCAAGAUUAAAUAUUAAUUGAAAUUAAAUAGAGUGAUCAUUAAAUUAUUUAAUUUUUNNNNNNNNNNNNNNNNNNNNNNNNNNNNNNNNNNNAUAAUAUAUAAUAAAAUGAGUAGAUUUUGAGCUACUCAUAACUCAAAAUCACAAAAACUAUUAAUGACAAGUAAUUUAAUCACGAAAACAUAUGUUUUAGAGAAGUAUAGUAUUUGUUUGAUGAAUAAAUAUGUGUAGCAUGUGACAAAAUGUUAAUGAUAUUUGGUAAAGUAGUCUAGUACAAAUUCAUGCUCGAUUACGCUUAGAAACGAGCUUGACCUUGACAGGCUUGCAAACGACCUCGGGCUCGAUGAGGCUCAUAAACGAGUUUAAUUCUAAUCGGCUUGAGCUAAAAAAAUGUUGGUUGAGUCAAGUUCGAGUUCGGGUUUAAAUUAACCAAUUGAGUUCGAGCUGGGCAGAGCUCUAUUUGACUCAUGUCAACAGUCCAAUCUCGUGUCAACUACCUUAGUUAUGAGUUAUGACUUAUGAGAUCUCGCGAUAGAACGUGAAAUAAAAAAUAAUGUAUUUAAAUAGUGAAGAGAAUACGAAUACACUGAAAUAUUUAAAAUAUAAAAGAUCGAUUUUAAACUAGCAAAUUCUAUCGACAUUCAAAGAUUAUGGAAGUUAUUGUUUUUUAUUUCAGUUUUGUUUCUGAUGAAAUUUAGUCGUGAAUUGAUUGUGACAGACCAAGGUCCGAUUUAGUAGGAAUACUAAUUAGAGAUUUGGUGUAUUUAUUUGAAGUCAAACGCUUAGUUAUCAUUAAUUAAACAAAAGUAACAACUAAACAAAUAAUCGUUGAUAAAAAUUUGAAAAUUUGUCUGAUAUAAUUUAGACGUUGAAUGGGUUGUGGAGUGAGGCCCGGAUAAUAAUAAUGGGUUUGGGCCCAACAUUGGUUGGAAUACCGGAAAGAAAGAGAUGGGAAGGAGGAUUGGAAGAAAGGGCAACAACAACGCGCUUCUCCGGUGCAUCGGAAUAGAGCCGGUGGGAGAGCUUCCACGCGUUUUCCGCCAGCUAAUCUCCACCACCGCUUCUCUUACUAGCCGUUAGGCGUUACCCAAUAUAAUGAUUCAUUCAGAUCCCCAGGAAAGUUACGCUCACCGGAACAUAUCGCUUUGUCCCCUCUCUCUGUCUCUCUGUGUCUCUCGCUCUCGCUCUUCUUCUUCUUCUUCAUUGGAAUUUUCUUGCGAUAUCUUGCUGCUACUGCCACUACUACGCCUUCUGCUUCAGUUGAAUCUAGACUUCUCUUCGUCAGAUUCUCCGACUCGCUCAGAACUGGAACUAGGGUUCUUGCUUUCGAAAUCAAAAAUGGAGGAGGAACAACAAGUACCGCAACCGCCUCAACGUCUCUCGACGCCCCCUCUGGGUUACCACCCUUUCAACCCGUCUGAAGAGGAACUGUUAAGGUACAGAAAUCAUCAUAAAACCAGUGGCAAGAGAAAGUUUGAUGCUGCUGCGGGUGGCUGUUCCCCACAGCCAUCUUCAAAGGUUCCUAGACUCUGUGAUGAUGGAGUUAGUCUUUCUUCUUCUUCUAUGCCAACAACUCAGUCUCACAACUCCGAGAAUCAAAUACGUUGUUAUAUUGAUCCUGAUGUUUGGGCAUUCCUUGAGGAAGUGAGAGAACUGAACAGCAAGUCCAGUCCCUCGUCGAAAAUCUCAGUCUCUGUCCCAUAUCCCUUUCAUCAGAUUCUUCCUUCAACUCUAAGGUAACUUUAAUUGGUUGCAAGAUCUACCCUUACCUGAUUUCCUACUUGAGUGCGAUUAGACUAUUUCUUUCUAGAUUUGUUUUGUGAACCCAGAACCCUUAAUCUCAAGUGUAAUAGGUUGUUCAAUAUUGAAGUUGAAUGUUACUUUGACAUGAUACCUGGAAAAUGAAACUUGUCUCUCAAGUCCUACAUAUAUUGAUUGUUAUUGAUGCCUGAAUUGCUUGCCAACUCUCUAUGUUUCUUUAGAUCUAACACAAAUUGCAUAAUCUUCAUUACUCUUCUACCUGAGUUGCUUUCAUUACUCUUCUACCUGAGUGAGUUGCUUCCUGUUUAGUUCACUAAUCACAUAUCUAGGCUUACAUUCUUGUAUGCGAAACUGUUAUGGCAAUGAACCUGAGUGUCUAAUGGUAGGUUUAUGAUUAUUUAGUUGAAUUGGUCGUUGGUAGGAGUCCUUCUUCCCUUAAUCAGGAUUUUGAAUGUGGUUUCUAGGUUAGUUUCUGUAGUUGUUUUGAUGCCUUUGUAAUGUAAGUCUGUAAGGCAACUAAGAAAUUAUUCUCACCCCUAGAGAAUUCAGUUUUGAAAAAUGUUAGUCAUGUGCAUCUUUUUAUAUCUGUGUUGAUGUGAUUUAAUUUGAAAUGCUGUGUUUUAAAUUGAAAAAAACAUGAAAUGUUAUUUCUAUCUCCAUAAAUUGCCCAUCCGCUGAUUGGACAAGAUAGUUCAAAAUGAUGCAAAUCGUUGAGUUAGAUUUUGGUAUUCCAGAUUUAUGAACUUCCUGCCUGAGAGUCCCUUUAAUCUGAUACACAAUCAUUAAAUAUGUGCUCUGAAAACUUCAUCUUGUUAAGCUGUUAAAUGAUGAUAUUGAUGAAAUAUCCAGACAACCCGACCUGUGGAAACAUAUGAAACACGAUACCCUAAAUGGUAAAUUCCUUUUGUUAGGUCCUCUGCAAAAUCAUGUACAGAGUUUACCUGAUUGGAGAAGAUAGUUCAAAAUGAUGCAAAUAUUUGGUAUUUCAGAUUUAUGAACCUCCUGCCAGAGAGUCAUUUUAAUCUGAUACAAACAACGGUUACCUGAUUGAAUAAUCUUCUCCUUUGUCUCGCUAUGUGUUUGCCAUGAGGGCAGAGCUAUCUCCUUCCCUCACAUGAUUGCUAGUUGAUGUGUUUCCAUAAGGUUGUGUCGUUUGGUUUUGGUUUCUAUUUCAAACUGAACAUAAUAUUAGUAUCAUGGUUGUGCACCAAAUUCUGAAAGUUGCUGGUCCCUCCAAGCCCAUGCUUCUUGCAUAAGGCUGAUAUGGUAAGCACCCCCAAUACCUAUGCUUCUUGCAUAAGGUUGAUAUGGUAAGCACCCCCAAUCAAUCAGACUCUUCCCUCCUUCAACAGUUGGGUUAGUGCUCUGAUGUGAUGGAAAGCAAGAUUUCAACAAUCGAGUCCCACAAUGUCCAUGAUUUUCCUGAAAAGAUUCCGACCCAAAAGUAGCAAACUGACUAAUGAGCAAUCUUGUGACAAGGUUAGAAUGAGCAAAUCUUGUGACAAGGUUAGAAAUUAAAUGAAGGUGGUGAGCCUGGUAAUUUGUGUGGGGAUCUUGCUGUAUAGCUUGUUUUCUGAAAUGGAAUCCCACAAAGUCCAUGAUUUCCUGAAAAUAUUCCUGUCCGAAAGUAGCAAACUGAUUUCCUUUUGGCAUCACUUUGAUGAGCAGAUUUUGUGACAUGUUUCCUCCUGUUAGAGAGUCCCUUUAAUCUGAUACAAAGGUUACCUGAUAGAAUAAUCUUCUCCUUUUGUCUCACUAUGUGUUUGCUUGUGAACUGCCUCCUUCCCUCGCAUGUUUUCUAUAGUUGAUGUAUUUUGGCCCUCUAAUGACCCAUUUGGGGUUUUGCUUACUAUUAUUUCAAACUCAACAUGGUUGUGCACCAAAUUUCGAAAGCUGUUGGUCCCUCUAAGCAUAUGCUUCUUACAUAAGGCUGAUAUGGUUAAGGGUAAGUAUAUGUAUGCUUAUUAUUUCUCUCACCAGCUAAUUUCUAUAUGACGUUUCUGGUAUAAUGUUUUCUUUCCUAUGAUGGUAUGCAUCUUUCGAAACUUUGAACGAGUUUGUGCUAGAGCUGUUGAUAUGGCUGCUUCCAAGGUCGAGACCUGACAACAUUAGCUUCAGGUGUUUAUUAUGAUUACAAGCAACAGUGUUUAUUAUGAUUCCAAGAUGAAACUUGAGGCGUUGGAUAUGAAUGGAGAUUUCGGUUUUGAGUGAUAGGAGCAGUGAUGUGUCCUUGUCCAGGCAUCGGAUUUGGGUUGGAAAAGAAAAACAGCAGAGAUGUGAUAGUCAUGUAAUAUCAACAACCACAAGGCUUACAGAAGUUGACAGUUCCCUCAAAGAAACGAGCAACAGAUAUUGACUAUCAUAAAAGUUUUGCAUUUCAUUGGUUGGUUAAGUUGGGUCUACAGAUGUGAGAUGCUACAGAAGAUUGGUUGGAGAAAUUGUAGUUGUGAGUAGACGAAUUCUCUCUGGUUACGUUGAGCUCUGUUUCAGUCUGAGUUUUGAUUUUUGCUGGUAGGAAGGAGUGUAGUAGAAAGAAGAGUUUUAGACCAGUUGUGGGACUGACAUGUGCUGCUGGUUCUCAUGUAAUAAAUAAUGAAGCAGGUGAAGGCUGCUGCUGCUAUCAAACAAGAGAAGAAAGUCAAGGUUCUGGCUGCUGCUGGGGGUAAUAUAUGCUAGUAAAGAAUAUUUGAGAUGGUUUACUACACAGUUAGUUAUAUUUACAAAGAUUAUGAAGUAGUUUUAUUCUGGUUAAUGCCAUGUUGGAAAAGUUCUCACUAUAUUUCUAUGAUUCUCAUUUAUCAGAAAGGGACAUAAAAUUGGUUUGAUUGAAGAGAAUGACUCAAAAUAUAUAUCAGAGCCUGGUUUCGAUCCAGGGACCUGUGGGUUAUGGGCCCACCA
This 88190-nucleotide long non-coding RNA is filed under the name Linum usitatissimum (flax). Its description in RNAcentral is "long non-coding RNA (LUSI_LNC007327)". Lineage: Eukaryota; Viridiplantae; Streptophyta; Magnoliopsida; Malpighiales; Linaceae. The record is from RNAcentral.